CGUUAAUUUCCAAGAUGAAGAAAACAUGAAGGCAACACCAAUAGAGGCGGUUGCUAGAUUCCGGAGUGCCUCUGAAAGAUUAGUUGUUGCUGCAUUUUUUAUAAUCUGGGUGUCCUCAGAUAGCCUGCUGAGGAGUUCCCCUGUUCGAGUAACAUCAAAGAAGGCUAUUUCCUGUUGGAACUAUUUUAGGAUCAGUUUUGCUGAAAAUCAAGUUUCAAGAGAAGGCUGAUUCAAGCUAUGAGCAGAAUAACUAUCAAAUCAUUGGUUACAUGAACCAUCAAUCUUAAUUCUUAAAGCUGGGUAAUCAUUAACUGGCAAUAUCAUAUAACUAGUAGCUGAUCUAAUUGGCCUGACCUGAUGAAUAAGAUGACUGAAUAAAUCUCGCCUAAGGCGAGCUACAACCCUUUCACUGGCAGAAGAAAAGAGCCAUGACCGAAGUGCUGUGGACACAGACCUAAAUGGAUGAGAGAAAAAUAACUAUAGUGUCAAACUUUUGAAGCCAAAAGAUCAAGUAAUGUAGUUUAUAAUGUUGAUGCAUGAAUAUGGAUGCAAUAGACUAAGGAAAUAGAGAUAUAAAAUUCCUAAAAAGGAACUAGUCUUCAACUAAAUUACAUCAUCAUAGAAGUUUAUUAUAGAAUCUGAUUCUUAAGACAAUAUUUUCAGGUUCAGUGUAUGUUUUUGCAAAUCUUCAAACCUUCUUGAAAUGCAAAAACUAAUUGACAUUUUAGCAGAAACUCUGCUAUAAGAUCAAUAUAUACAAUAUAGUAAGCAAAAAACAUGAAGACAAGCUGAGAUAAUGCUGUUUUUAAGAUAAUCUAUGACUAGACCCUGAGUUGUAUUUUUUUCUUGAAGCAUUUCAACGGAUAAGUUGGUCUCAUGGAAACAUCAAAAUCUCACAAUGAUGUGAGGGUAAGGGAACACUCAUUAUCUAUCUCUCUCAAAAAUGAAGGAGCAUAUGAAAUGCUACAAGAAAAAGGAUUGUUUCUUUCCAACUUAAGAAAAGUCGAAAACCAGAUAAACCAUAACUAUCUCAUAUAUCAAUGGAUGCCCAAUUGUUAAAAUAGACAACUAUGAAUAAAACCAUAACUAGUAGAACACUGGAACCUGAAAAUCACAAAAGGAAAAGGAAUACCCUAUUACAACGAUCAGCACAAUGUAUGUUACAGUAUUCUUGACAGCUUCCAGGGCCUCUGAUUGCUGUUCAGGUGUCCUUAUAUCUCUUGAAACAAUGUCUAUGAUCAUUCCACCAUAUUUAGGCUGCAAUAAAAGCAAUUUGACAUAAUGCAAAUAUGAGGAAACAAGAGUAAGGGCAGGAUAAAACCUUAUUUCACGGUUAACUUCUGCUCUUGAUUUCUAAAUGGUUUCAUAUGAACAUUUCCAGCUUACUGGGAAAUAGAGUUUGAAGUGAAAGAAUUCCUUUGAUGUUACAAUUUUUGCUUGCAUACUAUUGUGCCGAACAGAGAAAAAUAAAAAAAUACAGUAUGUUUGAAGGAGCAAUUCAUAAUCUUGCACGACGUUACAUUUCUUUCACUCUUUAGAAGGCAACAAUAUUUCACAGUGUACUAUGCCAUGUAAAAGAAGACACUGAACAUAAAGAUGUGACAAUCUCCAAAAAAUGGGUUACCAUCAAAGGUGAGCUGUUUUAAGGGGGAAACUGUUAAGAGUUUACAUACAUACAUCAUGAUGAAUUUUUGCAUUUUGUAGUUUUAAUUCUAAUCAGGGUUUAUUUCUACAGUAGAAUUAGAGCUAUUCUGGAUGAUGGAAAUACAAAUGAAGGGCCAUGGAAACACAACACUCGAAACAAAGGGAACUGGACAAAUGACUUUUUUUUAAGCAUAAACAGUCAAUGAUGAGCCAAUCCUAUUCCUAAAAUGUGCUUUGUGGUUAACAGCAAUGAGUUUGUACUCAUUUUUCAUCUCAAAUAAUCAUGGAUCAUGAUCAAAAUAAAAGGUAAAUAAAGGAAUUUUAAGAACAACAAAGAAGAUUCGGGGCAUUAUGAGACUAAAGUUUGAUAAGAAACAACAUACAAUCAAGAGAUUUGUAGUGGAUGCUAUCAAUAAUGCAAAGGUGGCAACAAAUAUCUUCCCAGCAUCUGGCUUUGCCUGAAAAUUGAAGGGAAAAAAAGCAUUUCAAUGCACAUUGAUGUUAGAACUCCAUGCUUAGAAAUGAUGGGAAACAAAUCCAUCACUAACCAGUGCAAAUACUCUCCAAAAUCCAACAUUGACUGCCUGAAAAUUUCAAAAGGAAGACCAAAAAUCCUUAAGUCCCCCCAAAAAAUUUGCUAAUUGGGAAAUAAAAAUGUAGGAAAAUAGCUUCAAAUAUCACCUCUUCUGCAUUGCCUUGCUCAAGGUCUGACAGAGGACUUUCAGCUGCUUGUUGCCCAUUUGUUUGCUUACUUGCCUGCACAAAAUAAAGUGAAUUGUUUCCACUAAACCAGUGUUUGUGUGAAUUUCUUAUAUUAAAUUGCAAAAUAAAAAUAUGUUUUAAAUAGUCUUCUUCUAAUGUUGUUUCAGCAUUUCUUUUUCUUUUAAGCACCUCAAAAAUUAAAUUAGAAAAAGCGAACAGAUUGUAACUUAUGUUAGGUAUCUUUCUUGGUUCAGUGAAAUAAUCUCAAUUUCCAUUUUCCAUUUUUAUGCUAUUCAUUCUUUUUCCUCUCAAUAUUUCACUUUCAUUAACUAAAAUGAAUACUAAGAUAAGAAAAGCUGGUCUUCUAAAUUCUAUAAAAAAUUCUUUUGAAAUCUGCAUAAGAUAACUAAAAUCUAAAGAGCUGAGUGAAGAAGAAAACCAAAUUAUCACUUACUUAAGCCUAAUCUAACUAAAGAAUUUGAUGUCAUAGACCAUUAGAAAAAUAAAACUAAUCAGAGUCUGGCUCGACAUGAUAUGCUUGAUUCCUUUUAAGUUUUUUUUUCAUAUAUUUGGAGCAUAAUAUUUUCAUAGCUACAUCUAAAUAUAUAUAUAUAUAUAUAUUAUAUAAUUAAGAAAUGAAAAAUUGGGCUAACAUAUCUCAAAAAUCAAAUAAACCCACUUGAUGGAGAAAACAAAAAGACACGAAAACGAUCAUAUAAAUUCAAGUACUACCCUUUGCAGGUUGCAGGCUACAGAUUCCCAUAAAAACAGAAACAAACAUUCUUUUAUUGUGAAGGAGAAUCACCAAUAAAAGAAUCCCAGAAAAUUAAAUCAAAUUAAAUUAUAAAAAGAAAGAAGAAAACCAACCUCCUUGUUCAAAAGAGGCGUUCUUUCACUUCCAGAAUUAGAAAUGGAGUUUGAAGUCUCAUCUAAGCUCUGUUCCUUCCCCAUCAAAACACUCACCACAACAAAAACACCGGAAAUGGGAAAUGGGACUUCUUUUUAUAAGAUUUUGAGCAAUUAUAAAAGAACUUGGGAUUUUUAUUUGGUCCACAGCAUUCGUUCUGUUAGUGUCAACUUUCCAACGUCUUUGUUUAUUGAUUUAUUCCUGUCAGUGCAUAAAAAAAUAUUAUAUUAUUUGCAAAAUUUUCCAGGGCAGGUUUUUUUACUACCAAAUAUGGGAAUUGAAUUCUAGAUUUCAUGUCGAUUAACUUGAAUCCCAAGUAAUUUUAUCAUUAAGCUAAUCAACUAUAUGUUGAAUUUUUGGAUAUUAAUUUUAAUUAUUUUAUUUAAAAAUUAUAUAGUAGUAUCAUCCCAAUAAUAUUAAUUACCAUUAAAAAAAAUGAUAUAUUACUCUUUUUCAUCUAUUGUUUUAUAGUAGUAUCUAUUAUUAUGAUACUUAAAAUUAAUACCGUUAGUGAAUGCUAAGACAACUAAUGAAAAUUCGAUAUGUGGAUUUUUUUUCCAAAUAACCUAUUUCAUAUGUAUAAUAUAAGAUUAUGUGAAAAGCUAAAUAAACAAAAAUUAAAUUAAAUUUAAUUUAAUUUAAUUUAAAAAUAAAUAAUUAAACCUCAACAAUAUCUGAUUAAUUAAAAAAUUAAAUACUAAAUUUACGUAAAUAAAAAAGUCAUUUUCUUCGCUUAAAAAUAAAUACUAAAGUGAUUUCCUAAAAAAAACAUUUGAAAUCAAUUUUCCUUCACAUUAAACAUUAAUGGCAUAAGUUUGAUAUUAAUUUUCUUCAAUUAUUUUUCAAAAACUUUACUUUUAGGGAAUUUUGUCUUAAAUAAAUUUUGGAAAAAUUUUGGCAAACUUUUUUUAAAACCAAAACUUUAACUUUUGUGUAAGAAGAUAUUCAAAUAUGAAAAAAAAGCCUUCUGUUUUUUUGUAAGGUAUAAUGAUUUAUUUGAUCCUUUAAUUUUAUAAAAAAAUUCAUUUUAAAUUUUUUUGUUUUUUUAAAUCUUAAAUUUACGUUUUUUAAUAGAAAAAUUAUCAUUUUUUUAAACUUUAUUGACAUUGCAAAUACAUGGAUGACAUGUCAAUAUUUAAUUUUUUUAAUUUAAAAUUUCAAAAAAAAUAUAAAACAAUUUUUAAAAACUAAAAAUCAUUAAAAUUAUUAAAAAUAUUAACUUUUCCAUAACCAACAAAAUUAAUAAACAUUAACUUUUCCAUCAAAUGUUGAUGUGUCAUAUAGGUGGCAAUCCACAUGCAUGCCACGUUAACAAAAUUAAUAAACAUUAACUUUUUUAUCUAUUUUUGGGUGAUUUGAUAAAAAAAUACAAUUUCAAAGGUUAAAAGAGGCGAAAAAUUAAAUGAAGAGACAAAAUGAAUUUUUUCGUAAAGUUGGAGGGCUAAAAAAAUUAUUAUGCUUUUUCCCAAUACUGCAAUACUGCAAAGGCUCGAUUAAUUAGACCUAAUGUUUUUAAAAGGUUAAAAUAUGCCAUAGGUCCUUGUAUUAUUCUCAAAUUUGGAAUUUAAUCCUUUUAUUUUUUUAAAGAAAUUUAGCCCUCUAUUUUUUAGAUUUCAAAAUUUAGGUCUAACUAUUAACACUAUUAAGAUUAUUUUUGUUAAAUUCAUGCUCAUCAUAACCCUAUUCUUUUAAUUAUAUUACUACCAAGUAAGUAUUUUUUUUUAUUUCAAAAUGUCACGCCAAUAAAUUUAACCAAAAAAAUAAUGUUAACAAUUGGACUUAAAUUUUAAAAUCUAGAAAAUAAAGGGACUAGACUUCUAAAAGUAAAAAUAUAUAGACUAAAUUUUAAAUUUGAGAAGAACUCAGAGACUUAUUGCAUAUUUUAACCCAAUUUAAAAGGGGUUUACUUAAUGGCCGGCCACAUAUUACCUCCCUAGGUUGUGGAUAUUAUUAUUUUGUGCUUUAAAAUAUAUGUGGUGGAAAUGUCCAUGGCAAUUGGAUUCCUUGAAUAUUCCACUCUACUUUUGAUGUUAAAUUGAGACCUUUAGUAUGAUGUGUUUACGAGAGAUUAGUCAACUUAAGCACAUGGAUUAAGAUAAAAUAAUGUUGGUUAAAGUAUAUUUCAAGUCCCUAUAUUUUUUUAUACAUUUAGAAUUUUUAUUUUAAAAUUUUAAAAUUCAUAUCCAAGUUAACCUCGAUUCUUUUAUAUAAAAUUUAAUAAUGAUUGUUGUAUAAAUUAAUGCAUACAUUUGUGUUAUAUUCUUACUUUAAAAUAGAAAUUUUUCUAUUUAAGUCUUUUUGGAUUCGCCCUUAUUUUGAAUGAAAAUUUUCAGCUCUGGAUUUCCACUUCUAUACGUAAGGGUGUUCAAACGGUCGAUUCGGUUAAUACUCUAACAGAAUUACUCGAAAUGUAAAAAUUUGUAACUGCUAACAGAAUCGAAGUUUUUUUCAAAUGCAUUAACCGAACCGAAAUUUAUAUAUUUUUGUCUUUUGGUUAAAAUAAGUAUAAAACAUAUAAAAAUAUAUAUUGCUAAUGUUUAUUUUAUUUUAUUUAAUAGUUCAAAAAACUUUAAAGGGAAGUGAAAACAACAAAUAAGACAUUAGAAAUUCUACAUAAGCCGUAAAAGUUAACAACCAAACACUGAGUCUUGAAAACAACAAAUAUUUUAAUUAAUUGGUUAAUUCGAUUAAUUAACUGAUUUUAAACUAAAUUAACUGAUAAUUGAAAUUUCAAAAAAUCAUUAAUUAAUCUGAACUAAAUUUGACCAUCAACUGAUUAAUCGAAUUAGAUCGAUUCGAUCGGUUAAUUCGAUUUUUACUGAACUGUAAACACCCCUACAUAUGUGCCCCGCAUAGGAAAAUAUGCCACGUGUGAUUUUUUACAGCUUUUUUUUCAUGUCUUUGUUUCAUUUUUUGCAUUUUUCAUUUUAUUCAUGAAAGAUUUUUAAAAAUAGAAACAGUUUUAGAAAAUAAAUAAAUUAAAAAAAAUUAUAUUUCUUUUAAUUUACAUAUUUUAUACUUUUUAAGCCUCAAUAGAAAAAAAUCUUUAAAAAGUUUUAAUAAUACAUUAAAUAUUAUUUUAUUAAUUUUUGAAUUUUUUUGAUUUUUUAAAUUAAUUUCCUUAAAAAAUUUAAAAAAACUCAAAAUUAAUCAAAGUUUUACGUUAUUUUAUUAAUUUUACUUUUAACAAAAUUAUAUUUUUGAAAAAAAUUUAUGCAUUCAUUUGUAAUUAAUUUGCUCAUUACAUUUAUUUUAUCAAAUAAUUUGAAAGUUUAUUACUUUAUGAUAAACAAUAUUUUUCUAAUUGAAUCGAUGGUUGAACCGAUCAAAUUACUGGUUCGUUAAUCAUAUUAAAAAAUAAAAAAUUAUGUUCAGUCAAUCUUUUAAUUGGUUCGACCAAUUCUUACUAGUUGGGGUUCAAUCAGUUCGAUACCUUUCUUUGGACUGAUACCUUGGUUUAUUUCCAGUCUAACCAGUCCAAUCUGAUUCAAACAUUUAUUUAUUUUUUAAAUUUAUUUAAUAUCAAUAUCAAUAUCAAAUUUAAAUUUAUUAUUAUAUUUUUAUAUAUUUUUUUGAACUUUUUGGAAUUAGGAUCAAAUUGAGAAUAUUUAUAAAAUUUGAGGGUUAAUUUUUUAAAAUUAUAACUAAAUCAAUAUAAUAUAUAAAAGUUGGGGGCUAAAUUUAAUAUUGUACCCAUUUUUUUAACUACCACAUCAACUUUUUAUUUGUGAUUUUAACAGGAAUAAUCAAAAUGAUUGAACUAUGUAACGUGUGUGCUUAAAUUAUAAACUUUUUAUUUUAGGUGCCUAAAAUGAAUUUUUUUUAUAAUUAAUUGACUAUUUAUAUAAUUUACUAUUAUAUGUUGAUUUCAUAAUUAUCAAGCAUAAAUUACUUUAUUUUAAAUACUUUUAAUUUUGAUUAUAAAUUUAUGUUUUAUAUAAUCGAGUGUUCAAGAAAUUAUAAUUUCUUUUUAGGUGACAUCAUGAUUGUUACGAUUGCAUGUUAGUGGGUUUAUAUGUUCCACGUGUAAGUAAGUUUUAUAUUAUUAUAUGUUCUAUAUUAACACUUUUUGUUUUUUUUUUUUGGAGUUUUGUAGGUUUACCAAUCGAGUCACUCUCGACUCUAUCAACUAGGUUAAUUGGCCGAAGCUCUCAACAAAAAAUAACAGAUAAAAUUCUAUCGAGGAUAAUAUCUUCGUUGAGAAAUUAAUCGACUGUUUUCCGAACCAUCUUUAAAAACUUAUUUCGGAGGAGUAGACCCUUCACCAUACCAUUGGUUCUGUUAGUGUCAACUUUCCAAUGCCAUUGUUUAUUGAUUUAUUCUUUUUAAGUGCAUAAGAAAAUAUUAUAUUAUUUACAAAAUUUUCCAGGGGCAGGUUUCUUUUUAGUACGUAGUAGAUGAAGUCAUACCCAUGAAAAUUUUUCCUAUUAAAAAGUUAUUUAAUAAUAAUUAUAAGUGAUUUGAAACUUAGAUAUUAAGUUUUUAUUUGUUGUAUUUAAAUAUUAGAUAAAAGUAUGAGAAGAUACAAGCAUCAUUUAACAAAAAAGUGCAUUAGUCUUUUUCCAAUUAAGUUGAUACCCGAUUAACCUGUGUUACCAACUUAAUCGAAAAUUUUAUAAUAAUUAUAGAUUACAAAUUGAGGGAAGGCAUGAUAAUAGCAAGGUUUGAACCCUGGUCUCUCAAGUGGCAACAAGAGCUUAGUCAUUACUAUUUUAUGUUGUUGGCCCAAAUGGGUAGAAUUCAGUAUGAUGGGAAGAGUAUGCAUUUGGUAUGCUUGGGAGAAAGUAGAGUAAUCUCUUGAAUAAAUAUGAAUUAGGAAUUUUUGUUUCGGAGAGAUUCACUUAUAUCAAUAUAAAAUUAAUGUAAUUUUAUACACUUCGUAACUUUCUAUAGGAUUAUAUUUUGAAGCAAUCUGAAUUUUACAUCGAUGUAAGUGGAUCUUUUGUAACUUUUUACAUGCUUUUGUUUGGGAGGAUGCUUAUAGCCAUAUAUUAAAGAGAAUGAAAAUAUUGUGCCAAUUUAAUGUUUUCUUGAAGGAAGAAAUUAUUGUUCUCAAAAGAGAAAAAAAACUCAGAACCCUAGUCCAAGAAAAGAAUGAUGCUUUCAAAGCAACCAAGAAAGAGCUAAAUGACGCCAAAAUUAUCUUAAAAAAGUUUGGAGGCCAAAGUGAGAAACUUGAUGAAAUUUAAGCUACGCGGUUAUUUGAACCAGCCCAUAAAAGGCUUGGUUAUAUUAAUAAAGGUAAGAAACCUAUUAUUUCAACAAGUUUUGUUAAAACUAAAGAUGUGAGCCCAACCCAAUUUCAAGUUCAUAAUAUAAUAUUUUUCUUUUAUAUAUAUACAUAUAUGUAAUUUGUAUUAUCUGAAAACUAAAUAUAUUAUAUAUGAUGUAAAUAUCUAACAUAUGUUAAAGUUUUUUUUUUUGUGUUCAGGAAUUUAAUAAAAGAUAUAUAGAUAUAUAAUAGUAGUAAAAGAUAUAUAAAUAUUGUAACACCCCUAAUCUGUAUCCGUCGCCAGAUUAGGGUUACAAGGCAUUACCGGAAAUAACACAGUUCUGCACAGUCAUUUAUCAACAUUUUUUUUGCACAUAUGAAAAACAUGACCGAAUAUAAUCAUUCAUACUUAAUUAAAACAUUCGAAAAUAUUAUACUAAUUAAUAAGAAAGCACAUGCGCGACCUUAAUAAUAAUACUACAUGAUCGAACCUAUAUUUUAUGAACUUUAUACAUGCUCUUGACAUGGUAAAAACAAAACCAUUUAUGAAUACCAUUACUAAUAUAUGGCUAACCAACUUCAUUGACAAAUUUGCAUGUUAUCAAUUUGCAGAAAUUAGCUCAAUUUAUACCAUUUUCAUACAGCAUAAUAGACAAAAAUUUAAACACAAACAAGUAUUACCAAAAGACCAAAUUUCAUUAAUAAAAAUAAAUAACCAAUAUAAUCGCUUCCCAUUUGAUCAAAAUAAUCAUCUCACAAAUACAAAUACCGAAUCAAGACAUGCCAAUUUCGCAAGAAUCAUACCAAUCUCAUAUGCUUUGUAUUAUGCCAAAACGUCACUUAUAAAACCAAUUUGUUUUCAUCCAUUUAGCAAACAAAACCUACUUAGUAAAAUAUCAUCAUUUACCAAUUGAAACCAUACCUAAAUAAUUCAAUUCGCAUUCAAUACAUACUCAUCAUUUCACUUCAAACCAAAUCAAGGUAUAAAAAUCAUAUUAAGCAUUUCUCAUUGUCGAAACAUAUGAUCAAACAUCACAAACAUAUAUGCUAUGCAUUAAGCUUAUCAACUUAAACUAAUUUAUAAGACAUUCAAAUCAUUACUCAACUAAGACAUAUAACUAAAACACCAUUUAUCAAAAUCAUCACAAAAUGAACAUAACACAUAAUGCUUCCAUACCAAACCAAACAUUUUCAACUCAAGCCAUAUCACAUAGCUUGAUCAAAACCCCAAAAUUCAUACCGCAUUCACCGACAUAAAUGACCAUAUAAAUCAACCCAUAAACUAGCUUAUACAUGCCAUAUUUACAAUAUUUACAAGUUCCAAAAGUACCAAAAAUCAUCUGGAUAGUGCGAUAGCAAGUUUCCGACCACGCCCAAAAUCGAGCUAGCUUCCAAAAUCUAUAGGACAUAGAAAAAUGCACGGAAUAAGCAUUAAGCUUAAUAAGCCCGUAUAAUAUAGAAUUAAACUUACCAAAUUAACAUUUACCGUUAAAGCAAUUAAAACUAACUCAUUUGUCCACAAAGCCUAUUCACAUCACCAUUCAAAAAUUAGUCAUUUCACAUCUAUAUAUUCAUCCGUUCAUAAGGAUGAAAUCAAACAUAUAACAUUCUUUUGACUUCCAAAUUCAUUCCUCAAUUCAUAUAAAUCAUAUAUCAUAGCAUCGAUCCAAGUCAAAUAGCUAAAUGAAUCGUGUCAUCCAUAUAAUUCAUAUAUAUUCAUAUAACAAAUAAUCUAUGAAAAUCAUGUAUUCCAUGUAGUUUAUAAACCAUGUAAAUCAUGUAAUUUAUAAUCCUUGUAAAUCAUAUAGCUCUUAUAUUAAAUAAUCUUUACAACACAUAUAGGUAUAAUGCUCGUUGAACCUACGGAAAUAUCGAGGGAUACUCGGGUGAUACACACUAACUGUAUAGAUCGAAAAUCCAUCAAUUCAUUGUAAUUUACGCUCUUUCGAGCCAUGAUCAGUAUGCUCCUCCUAAGCUGGUAAACGGUAAGCUCCGUAGAGCUGAAACGGUAAGCUCAUACGAGCUGUGGUGAGUUCGCAACAAAUGCCGGAGCUCGACCAAAUGGUAACCCUAGUGAUAUGUCACUUGUAUCCUACAACUUUCUACGGUUCAAACGGGACUCGGUACUUAUUCGGAGUACUUAGCCAAUAGGAAAUUCAAUUUAAUAUUUCAAUACACAUUCAUACAAAUAUUCAAUUCAACCAUUUAAAAUAUAUAACAAGUUCGAUUCUAAUUAUAUACGAACUUACCUCGUAUUUGCUCGGAUACUUUCGUCUACCCGUCUAACUUUUGUUUUCCCCGAUCAAGUUCCGGUAUUUGUUUAUCCCGAUAUAUAUAUAAAUUCAAAUUUAACCCAUUUAUUCACCAAAUUGUUCAAUUCAAUCCAUAUACAUAUAUUUUGGCCUUUUUACAAAAUAGCCAUCAUAUUUUCACAUUUUGACACUUUAGUCCCUAAUUCACAAAAUCACAAAAUAUACAAAAUUCUUUAUACUUAUGCUUAGCUGAAUAUUCAUGUAUUCCAUACAAACCCAUAUCUUUCAUUUAUUCACUUUUCUAACCACCACAUUUCUAUCUUUUACAAUUUAAUCCUUAAUGCUCAUUUUUGUAAAAAUUCUCUUUAUAAAACCUGUAUAUCUAUUAACAACCAUCAAUAAUCUAGCAAGAAACUUCAAACUACACAUGUAUUCAACAAUGACAUAUUUCAAAAUCACCAAUAAUUUAAGAAAUUAAGGCACGGGCUAGCUAGAUUGAGCUGCAACGAGCUCAAAAAUAUAGAAAUCAUUAAAAACGGGACGAAAAUUGUACCUUAAUUGAUAAUCUAUGCUUGACUGAAUGCAAAAGCCCUAAAAUGACUUCUUUCUCUUGUUAAAAUCGGCAUGAAGAAGAUGAAUGAACCAUUAUGUCAUUUUUGUUUUAAUUAAUUUUAACUUAAAUAUCAUUUUACAAAAUUAACCUUAUAAAGUCAACAUGGAAUUCACAUUUUAUAACCCAUAACCGUCCAUCCAUAUAACUCAUGGUAUAUUUACCAUGCAAGGACUCAUAUAAUUAAUUCCAUAAUCAUUUAAGUCAUUUUACUAAUAGAACUCAUAUUUUAAGCGCUACGCGAUUUAGGCCUUUUUACUGAAUUAAUCAUUUAAUCGGUAAAACUUCUUUACGAAAUUUUCACACGGUAAUUCUUUCAUGCUAUAAAACUUAUUAAAAUAAUAAAAUAAAUAUUUUGACUCGGUUAAGUAGUCCCGAAACCACUGUUCCGUUCAAACUCAGAAACAGGCUAUUACAUAUAUAAUUAUUAAAUAUUAAAUAAAAAUAAGGGUAAACUAUCAAAAUAGUCAUUUUUAUUUACUUCAGGUUAUAUAUUAGUCACGUAUGUUUGAAAUGUUACGUUUUAGUCACUUAUGUUAUCGCGUUGUAACAUUUUAGUCACUGAGUCGUUAAUUGUCGUUAACGGUGUAACGACAAGCUGACGUGGCAUGUUAAAUCAUCAUUUCAAAUGAAAAUUUUAGGUUAAAUUAUACAAUCGAUUCUUAUAUUUUUUUCGUUUUGAGCAAUUUAAUUUUUUUCUUUUAUGUUUUCUUAACUUUCUUUUCUUUAUUUUCCAUUCUCUUCUGCUUCUCCCUCUGUUUUCCUCCCUUCUCCAUUUUCUUUUAACGUAGUUUUUAUAUAUUUUCCAUUUGUUAAAACUAGUCUCUAUACUUUUAUUUUUUUGAACAAUUUAAUUUUUUCGAGUGGGGCCAGCUUGUGGACUAGUUUUAACAAAUGAAAAACAUAGAAAAACUGUGUUAAAAGAAAUGAAGAAGGGAGAAAAUAAGAGGGAGAAGGGAAGUAGAAGAGAAUGAAAAAAAAAAAAGGAAAGCUAAAAGAACAUAAAAGAAAAAAAAUUAAAUUGCUCAAAAAGAUGAUUUAAUGUGUCACGUCAACUUACCGUUGCACCGUUAAUAAUAAUUAAAUGCUCAAUGACUAAAAUGUUACAACAUGAUAACGUAAGUGACUAAAAUGUAACAUUUCAAACAUAGGUGACUAAAAUGUGUAACAUGAAAUAAACAAAAGUGACUAUUUUGAUAAUUUACCCUAAAAAUAAUUAUAUUUAAAAAAUAAAAAUAAAAGUUACCUUAAACCAACUUGAGUUAUAUUUAGAGGUGCUCAUGGGCCGGGCCUAGAAAAAAUUUCGGCCAGCAUCCUAGGCCCGAGCCCAGCCCGAAAUAUGAGCCUAAAAUUUUGUCCAGGCCUUGCCCAGGAAAAACCCUAAGCCCGAGCCCAGCCCGACCCGGCCCAUUUUUUUAAUAAACACUAAAAAUUUAUUUUAAAAAUAAAAAAUAAAAAAGUAUUUUAAAAAUAUUUUAAAAUUUAAAAAAUUUAUAUUUAUUAUAUAUUCGGGCUGGGCCGGGCCGAGCCCGGGCCAAAAAAGUGGUGCCCGAGGCCCGGCCCGUUUUCUAAACCGGCCUCAUUUUUUUGCCCAAACUCAUAUUUCGAGCUUAUAUUUUUACCCAAACCCUCUCAUAUUUCGGGCGGGCCGUUAGGCCAGGCCGAGCCGAGCCGCCCGACCCAUGAGCACCUUUAAAGUAUGGGCGAACUUAGUCAAAACUUCACCAUUCAUAAUCAUAUGUUUUACAUCUAACUAUAGUUUGAACUUUUUUUUUUUGGUAUAUUUGAAUUACAUUUUUGCAAUUAAUAACUCCUUUGGUUACACAUGUAAUAAUACAAAAAAAAUGUUAUUUAUUAUAUAAUUAUGACAAUAAUUAGAUAUAAAAUAUAAAAUAAUUAAUUUAAAUUUAAAUUUAAAAUUAAAAAGAUAAGUAAUUUUAUUUUGUAAAAAAGUAAAACCUCUAUAGAUUAAACUAAAUUUUUUUUCCUCUUUUUUCAAACAAGUCAUGCGAGUAACGAAAACCAUGCUAAAACAAUAAUAUUAGCAUAACUGUUUCGGUUUUAAGAUGAUUACGUGAAUUUGAUAGGUUUUAUGAUUUACUUUUGGGUAAACUAUUAAAAUAGUCCCUUUUAUUUAUUUCAUAUUACAUUUUAGUUACUUAUGUUUGAAAUGUUACUUUUUAGUCACUUAUGUUAUCGUGUUGUAACAUUUUAGUUACUGAGCGUUAAUUGUCGUUAAUAGUGUAACAAUAAGCUGAUAUUACAUGUUAAAUCAUCAUUUCAAAUGAAAAUUUUAGGUUAAAUUAUACAAUUGGUCCCUAUAUUUUUUUUGUUUGAGCAAUUUAGUUUUUUUCGUUUAAGUUAAAAGAGAUGGAGAAGUGAGAAAAAUAGAGGGAAAAGAAGAAGAGAAUAGAAAAUAAAGGAAAAAAAAGAAAGUUAAAAGAAAAAUAAUUAAAUUGCUCAAGAUGAAAAAAAUAUGAGGACCAAUUGUGUAAUUUAAUCUAAAAUUUUUGUUUAAAAUGAUGAUUUAAUAUGCCAUGUCAGUUUACUGUUACACCGUUAAUGAUAGUUAAUGGCUCAGUGACUAAAAUGUUAUAGCAUGUUAACGUAAGUGACCAAAACGUAACAUUUCAAACAUAAAUGACUAAAAUGUAACCUGAGAGAAACAAAAGUGACUAUUUGAAUAGUUUACCCUUUACUUUUUUGAAUGAUGUUACCAUUUUAAUUGAUGAAACGCAAUAAAAAAAAUAUUUAAAUUGCUUUGAAAACACAUUCCAUUAUUUGUUAUAUUAUAUGCAUACUUUGCAUUUAUGUUUUCUUUGCAAAAUUGGUAUAUAGGAUAUUAGUCAACAAUGGUCUAAGAAACUUUAAAUGGUAUGUUUUUUUAUCCAAAUUCUCAUUUAAUUAAUUUGAUUUAUUCUAUUUAUACUAAUAAUUUCUAAAAUUUUAUAAGGUUUUGUUGAGUAAUAUUUUACUUCUUUCUUAUCGAAACGAGUAUCAAGGCAUUUAUACAUGUUGUUACUGGUACUAUUACAGCUCAUGAUAGGGUCCCACUAUUUUGUCUUAACUUUGUUGCCUUCAGUACUGUCAUUCUCUAUCCCUAAUAUUGACAUUUUCUGUGAGCUUUAGGUUUGCUGAGCAUGUGUCUACGAAGCACGCGGUCCUUUUUGCUCUUGGAACUAGCGUUCAGGGCGAGCUCCGUACUUGCUGGACGCAUGUCUGGGUGGCAUGUGGAGCACGUGGCACUUCUUGCGAGGUGAGAUUGUAGCCUUCCCUAGGUCCCCACAAGUUGGGUUUGUAACCUUAUCUUGCGAGCUGUACGUGCAAUCCUGCCCUAUGAGCUUGCUUAAGGUUCCUGCGAGCCGAGUCUAUAGUAUUGCCUUGCAAUUUGGUUCGCUUUGUUGUAGACAAUGCGAAUAAAGAAAGUCAUAUAGUAUCAAUUUUAAUAGCUCAGUGACUUAAAUGAAAAUAUUUUAAUAAUUCAGUGAUCAAAUUAUAACUUUUUUUAGUUAAGUUACCAAAACCAAAAGUUUACUAUAAUUUAGAUUAAUAAUGUAGUUUACCCAUUAAAAUAUUGUAUUGUUAUAUCCAACAGUGAACGAGUGAAAUGUCCGCUUAUUACUUUUCAGCUUGGCAAUCAUUGUUCAUUUAUGCUUUCUUGUCUUUUUUGCCAAAAUAAUUAUACUUGUAUUUCUGCUCCCAAUUAGAGUUGUGUAUAGGCGGAGUGAGCCACCUAAAAAAAUUAGGUCUGUUUUUAGACUCGAUCUAGAAAUUAGGUCUAAAAUUUUGUUUAAAUUCAAUUCAAAUAAAAAUAUUAAAAUCUAUAUUUAGUCAGUUCGUAUUAAAAUUUUUAUAUAAAAAUAAAUUUAUAAAAUAUAAUAUAAAAUUAAAAUAAUUACUUUUUUACAAAUGAAAAAAAUUAAAAAAAAACUUAAAUAUCUUUAAGAUAAGUAUAACUUAACGAGUAAAUACCUCUAAAAUAAUAGAAAAAAUUAAUAAUAAAAUAAGAGUUAUACAAUAUUCAAACAAUAACAAUAAUAUAAUAAUAAUAUAACAAUGAAAUAAUAGUAAAACAAUAGAAAAAACAAUGGUAAAACUGUAAAAAAAGUAGCAGUUUUUUUUUUUUUUUGUAAAUUUGGGCCAAGUUGGACUCGAGUUAAAAAAAACUUACCCAAGGCACAAUUCGUUUCGAAAAUGAGCCUUAUUUUUUUGUCCAAACUUAUUUUUUAAGCCUAUAUUCUUACAUAAACUCUCUCACUUUUCGAACGGACAUUCGAAUAUGUAUCUAAAUAAAUCUAGACUCCCAUCAUGACAAAAUUAAAUUAUAAAUAAUAAAUCUUUUCUGAAGAUAAUGAAUUAUAAGAAAAUAGAUUAGAGUGUGUAAGAUGGAGUAAGCCACUUAUUAACUAUUGUAACAAUAAGUAACUCAUUUAUAAUUUGAGAAGCAACCAUAGGAUUGCAACAUUUUCAAUAAUUGUUGGUUUUAUAAUUCUUAUUUGGAUAAAAUAUAUUCCCAGUUUUUAUAUUCUUUUUAUAUUUGAGUUUUGGUACCUUUACUUUUAUUUUUAAUUUUUUUUUACUUUUUCAAAUUUUAAAAAAAAAAGUUAGAUUCAAUUGUUAAUAUCAUUAUUAUUAUUUUGUUAAAUUUGUUUGUGAGGUAUUUUGAAAUAAAUAAAAUUUACUUAAUAGCCAUGUAAUAAAAAGAAUGGUAAACUAUCAAAAUAAUCACUUUUAUUUACCUCAGGUUAUAUUUUAGUCACUUAUAUUUGAAAUAUUACAUUUUAGUCACUUACGUUAUCGCGUUGUAACAUUUUAGGCACUGAGCAGUUAAUUGUCGUUAACGGUGUAAUGGUAAGCUGAUAUGACACGUUAAACCAUCAUUUCAAACAAAAAAUUUAGGUUAAUUUAUACAACCGGUCCCCAUAGUUUUUCGUAUUGAGCAAAUUAAAAAUUUCCUUUUAUAUCCUUUUAACUUUCUUUUUUUAUUUUAUUUUCCAUUCUCUUCUUCUUCUUACUCAGUUUUCUUCCUUUCUUCAUUUCUUUUAACAUAGUUUUUUUAUGAUUUUCAUUUGUUAAAACUAAUCCCUAUACUUUUAUUUUUUUGAACAAUUUAAUUUUUCGAGUGAGGCGAGCUUGUGAACUAGUUUUAAAAAGUGCAAAACAUAGAAAAACUACGUUAAAAGAAAUGAAGAAGGGAAGAAAACAGAGGGGGAAGCAGAAGAGAAUGGAAAAAAAAAAGAAAGUUUAAAGAACAUAAAAGAACAAAAAUAUUUUUCUCAAAAUGGAUAAAUAUAGGGAUAAAUUGUAGAAUUUAACCUAAAAUACUCGUUUAAAAUGAUGAUUUAACAUGCUACAUCAGCUUACCAUUACACGGUUAACAACAAUUAACAACUUAGUGACUAAAAUGUUACAACACGAUAAAGUAGGUGACUAAAACAUAACAUUUCAAACAUAAGUAACUAAAAUGUAACCCGAGACAAAUAAAAGUGACUAUUUUAGAAGUUUACCCUAAAAAGAAUGAUAUUAUAGUAGACAUGAAUUUAACAGAAAAGAAAUUAACAGUAUUAACAAGUGAGCUUGCAAUUUUAAAUUUGAAAAGUAGAGGGACUAAAUUCCUAAAAUAAAAAUAGAAGAAUUAAAUUUCAAAUAUAUAACGAGUACAAAGGCUUGGGAGCAAAUUUUAACAAUCUUAUUUCUUACCUAUAACUUUCAAGUUUUCAUUUAAUUUUUUGUGCAAGAAGUUUUUUUUUUUUUACAAUAUUUAAAACUACUCAUAAUUCUUCCUAACCCCUUAAAUAGGAGAAUAAACGUACUUGAGCGCAUUUGAACUCACGUCUUCUUAAACUGACAAUAAUGUCGAUGGCAAUUGAACUAAAACUCAUUCGACUUGUCUAGCAAAAUAUUAUUGUAAGUGUUUCCCUCCAAAGUUAGAACAAUAUAAUUUAGAGAUAAAAUAUGUUAAUAUUAUAUAUACUUUUUAGAAUUAUUUUUGAAUUUAAAGUUAUAUAAAAAAUUAAAAUUUGAGGUUUCCAAAUUAAUUUCAUAUAAUCAAUUUAGAGAUAUUAACUCAAUUAAAAAUAAAUAGAAUUAAUUGGUUUUAAUAAAAUCAAAUCAAGUAUUUACCAAAAAGUCUCUUAUUUGCUCAUAUCCAUAUAACAUAAAAUAAAUUAUUAAUCAUUUAUUUCAAAGUGAAAUUAAAUAAAUGGGAUAAAUUUUAAAAUUGUACAUGAAUUUUGGUUCAAUAUGUAGUAUUAUAUUUGAAAUUUGAUUUUGUACAAUUUUAUACUAAUUUUUUUUAAUUUAAUUCAAUUUUUAUAAAUUACUAAGAUUAUUAACGAUAUAUCGUAUUGAAAUAAUUUAGAGAGGUUUACUUUAUAAAAGAAAUACAUGAAAUUAUCAUAAUCAAAUCAAAUUAAGAAUUGGCUAAAUUUAUUUGUUAGUCACUGUACUUUAUGAAAGUUGUAGAUUUAGUCUAUGUAUUUUAAUUUGAUCAAUUGUAGUCCUUGUACUUUUUGAAUUUUGAAAUUUUAGUCUUGAUCCAAACAAUAGCAGUUAAAGUCAUUUGUUUGAAUUCAAUUAUUAAUCUUGUACUAUGCAUACAACUGUAGACUAGUCCAUAUUCUCCGACUAGAUCAUUCUAAGUCCUUAUGCUUUUCAUAUUUUGAAACUUCAAUCUUGACCUAAAUAAUAGUCGCUAAUCUAUUAACUGAAUUUUUAGUGAGUAAUAUGUGGAAAUAACAAGCUGACGUAGCAUACACAUGACAAUUUGUUUGUUGUAUCAAAUUUUAAAAAUAACAGAACUUAAUGAAUUUAACAAUUAUCAUUUAAUGAGGAUCAAAAUUUUAAAAUUCAAAAAUUAUAGGGACUAAAAAUGACCAAAUUAAAGUACAGAGACUAAAUCCACAACUUUCAUAAAGUAAGGAACUAAUAGCAUGAUUUAACCUUAAGAAAUUAUAAAAAAGAUUAAUCUCCUAUUUGUCCACGAACAUGUAAAAUAAAAUAAAUGUAUAAUGUAACAACCCGCUUUUCAGUAGUAUCAGAAACAGUGGUUUUAGGAUCAUAAAUCCUACAAGUAAGCCCGUAAUAAUUAUUAAUUAACUUAUAUGAGUCAAUUAUAGUUUUAUAUUAAAAUUUGAAUUUGACAAAUUCUAGUUUAUGAACAAAUAGAUAAAGACAAGUGGUUUGUUUCAAAAGUCGAGUGAUUUUUGAAAAUGAGGUGUUGGGAUAUCGUUUCUAUAAACCAAAUCCGUAAAUAUUUAAUAUAAAUAUUUACGAAGUAUUUAUUUAGGUGUAUCGAAGUUUGUUCCGGAAAUUUUCGUGAUUUGAUAAUUAAUUGAGUAAAAAAGACUAAAUUGUAAAGGUUGCAAAAGUAAGCUAUUAUUAGAUUAUUUGUGCUAAAUGGAUUAAAUGUUAUUAUUGCAAGUGUUAAUAUGGAAAAUUUCCACUUUUAAAAGAUAGUGGCGGUUGGUGUAAGAAUUUUUAAGUAAAAUAUUUUAAUUAUAAUAUUAAAAUAUAUGUUAAAAGUAAAAUAAAACUUAAGUAAAAUAAAAUAAAAUAAAAUACUAUCAUCUUCCCAAAAUGCUAGAACCACCGAAAAUGGAAGAGUAAAAACACCAUUCUCAAGCUAAACAUUCGGCCUUAAUAAACCAUUGCAUGCAAGUGGCUUUCUCAAUUAUUUCUUGUAAUUUUUACGUUUUUGAGAUCGUUACAACUAGGUCCAGUUAACUCGUACUUCUGUUUUCGAAACUGUUAAAGAUUUUAGAUUUUUCCGUUAAUGAAUUUUUGUUAUUCUUGAUGUUAAGUGAUGAAUUUGAAGUGUUGAUUAGGACUGUUUUGUAAAGUGAUUUUUGAUAGUUUUUAGUUAAAGGACUAAUUUGAUAAAAUGUUAAAAAUAUACAUGAAAUUUUUGUGAAAUUUCAAUGAAUAUGGACUGUCCUAGUUUGUGAAUAAAUUUGUGAAUAAAUUCGGCUAGAAUGGAAAAUUGUAAAAUUUUGUUAAUUUUGGAAUUUCGGGUUUAGGGGCUAAAUUACAAAAAAGGUAAAAUAUUAGGGGUAAUUUUAUAAUUUUUAUGAAAAUAUUAAAUUGUGUAAAUCUGAUUAUAUAAGUGUUGAAAUUUACUUAAUUGAAUAAAAUUAUUAUAUAUAGAUCGAGAAACGAAACAAUUAGAGUUAGAUCGAGGAUAAACUAAGAUAUUAGAUUAAUUCUCGAUUUCGUUUUUACAAUUGUAUUUGUCGAGGUAAGGUCAUCUACACUUAUCUCCCUUGAAUAUUUCUCUGGAGUUGGUGAAGAGUAGAGGCGUUCAUAUGCUGGGAUGAAUUCGGAUCUAGGUAAGAUAUUAGCACACUUUAUAUCUGCCCAAGUCCAUCCAUAUUUGCAAAUAGUUAAUCAAAACCUAUAUUAAGCACCAAUAUAUAUAUACACACAAAAGAGGGGCUGGUCGUUCUGUAUUUGUUUCCUUUUUAAAAAUUAUUUUCGCUUUGUAUUUUUGGCUCAACAAAGAGGGGCUGGUCGUCUUAAUAAAAAAAUGAUCGCGUGCAUUUGUUGUUUAAAAUACUUUAUAUUUUAUCAAAUAAUAAAACAAACUUUAAAUAUAAACAUAAAGGAAUCAUUUAAAUCGGAAAAAAAAGAGAGAAUUUUUAUGAGAGAACCAAUGAGAAAAACGUUUUCCUAAUAUUCUUUAGCACAUGCAGUUGCCUGGAAAAAAACAAACAUUUAUUUAAAAUAAUUGAAGGGUUGAAUUACAGAUUAAGCAUAAUGGAAAGUUAGUAAAGUAGAAAACUUUAAAUGGUGGGACAGAGUUGCCUGACCUCAAUCAUUAUCAAUAUUAAUGUAAUAACAGAAUAUAUACUUACAAUUUGUUCCUACUUCUUCUUUCAUACUAAUUUAUAAAACCCCAGAUUUAUAUUACUGUAAAGGAUGUAUUUUUAGUCUUUGAUCCUAAUUGAGUACUGAUGUUGUUUCUGGCGGUGCUCUUGUUUUUGCUUCAGCAAAUUCUCACUUGUGCACAAAUUUAUAUCCCUGCUGAUAAUAUUGCUCUAGAUUGUGGUUCUUCAACUUCAGGCAAUUCUACAGCACCAGAUGGUCGUGAAUGGACCGGAGAUAACAUGUCGUGGUUCGCCGAGUCCGGUAGCCAAUCAGUGUCGGCCAGUGUCGAAAAGCAUAACAGCUCUUUCCAUGUUGUGCCUUACAUGACUGCUAGAAUAUCUAAAUCCGAAUUCACCUACAUGUUCCCAGUUACUGCUGGUCAAAAAUUUAUCAGGCUCUAUUUCAAUCCUGCUCGGUACAAUGGCUUUGACACCUCUGUCUAUUUUUUCUCUGUCAAGGUAGGCCCUUAUACACUGCUCAAUAACUUCACUGCUUCCAUUACUGCCGAUCGUUCGAGGAAAGGGUCGUCGAUUAGAGAGUUCUGUGUAAGCUUGAUGCAGAAUCAAACACUCAAUGUAACUUUUACUCCCUCUUUGGAGGGUUCUUAUGCUUUUGUCAAUGGAAUCGAAAUCGUCUCGAUGCCUACUAAUCUCUAUUACUCGACUUCAGAUCAUCACGGCAUUAAGUUCAUCGGUCUUGGCACACGUUUCUGGAUUGAUAACUAUACUGCACUCGAGAAUGUUCAUCGUUUAAACGUUGGGGGCCCAUCAAUCACCGCUGCAGAUGAUACUGGCAUGUACCGAAACUGGUACAAUGACAUUGAUAAUCUGAUAGAAGCUGGUGUUGUUCCUAGUAAUACUAGUCUUGAACUCGACUAUUCUAACAUACAUGAGUACACAGCUCCUGCUAAUGUAUAUGAAACAGCUAGAUCAAUGGGAAACAACAGAACAGAGAACUUGUUGUACAAUUUGACAUGGAGUUUACCGGUUGAUUCGGGAUUCAGGUACCUUGUUAGACUCCAUUUCUGUGAAUUUGAUCCGGCCCCAGAAAAGACGAGUGAUAGGCGAUUCCGGAUCUUUAUCGAUAACAAGACCGCAGAGCCAGCAUUCGAUGUGAUCGAAACUGCUGGUGGUAAAGAUAAACCAAUCUAUCAUGACUAUAUGGUUAUGAUUGGAAACAUUGGUGAUAUUAAGAGUGAAUAUUCCCUCUUUAUAGCUUUGCAUCCUAAUAAAGAAUUCAGUGCUUAUGCAGACGCGCUUCUGAAUGGAAUAGAAGUCUUUAAGUUGAAUAACUCCGAUGGCAAUCUUGGCAGACCAAAUCCCGAGCCCAAGUUACCAGAAAAAGGCACCGAGAAAAAGAGUUCAAAAGACACGAAGAGGAAAUUGCUUAUUUUUAUCGGUGUUGGUGGUAUAGGCUUGUUGAUUGUGCUUGUGUUAGUAUGCUCCAUCAUUUGGCGACAUAGAAAGAUGAAGCAGUAUGGUUCACACUAUAAACCAUCAUGUUUUUGCUGCUUGCUGGAUCGUUCCAAAGGGAAAUCAUUUGUCGGGGCGAAAACCUCAUCGCUGCCUGAUGAAUUGUGUCGUCGGUUUUCACUAGAUGAGAUCAAAGCUGCCACUAGCGACUUCAAUCAAGAUUUGAUUAUCGGGGUAGGCGGUUUCGGCAAUGUUUACAAAGGUUUCCUGGAUAAUGGUGAAACAAUAGUGGCCAUCAAACGCUUGAAUCCAGAGUCGAAACAAGGUGCAAGAGAGUUCAAGACCGAGAUCGAGAUGCUAUCCCAGCUUCGUCACAUUCACUUGGUCUCUUUGGUGGGAUAUUGCAACGACAACAACGAGAUGAUCCUUGUGUACGAUUACAUGAUCAACGGCACUCUCCGCGAUCACCUUUACGACACUACCAACGAACCUCUAACAUGGAAACAAAGGCUCAAGAUAUGCCAUGGGGCAGCAAUCGGAUUGAACUACCUUCAUACAGAGGUGAAGUAUACUGUGAUUCACCGUGACGUUAAGACCAGCAACAUUCUCCUAGACCAUAAAUUCACUGCAAAAGUCGCGGAUUUUGGCUUGUCGAAACUUGAUCCGAAGCUCGACAUGCUCAAUACCGGUGUAAAGGGCACAUGGGGAUACUUGGAUCCCGAAUACGCUCGCGGUCAUACAUUGACCCAAAAAUCCGAUGUAUACUCGUUCGGUGUAGUACUACUCGAAGUUUUAUGUGCAAGGAAAGCUCUGGACAAGAGAGUAUCAAUGGAACAAAUGAACUUAGCUCAUUGGGUUAGAAAAUGCAUUGCUGAUGGGACACUUCAUCAAGCCAUAGAUCCAAAGCUGAAGGGAAAGAUAGCUCCACAGUGUUUAAAGGUGUUUGUUGAAAUUGCUGAAAGUUGCAUACAAGAAAUGGGAGUGAAGCGGCCAUUCAUGAAUGAUGUGAUGGAAAGGCUAGGAUUUGCAUUGGAGCUUCAAGAAGCUGCUGAUGCUGAGUUAGUGAAGAGUAAUCAUGGCGAUGAUCAUUGCUAUCCGGACAUCAUUUUUCCGGUCAAUCCCUGCGAUGAUGUCGAUUUCGAAGCUUCAGAUUCUGAUGUUAUUGCAGUUCAUAAUCCCAUUCAUGAUUCUGGGUCUUUUCUAUCUUCUGAUGUAUCAAACACCAGUAAUGCAUAAGGAUUUUGAUUUUAUGUAUAAAUUUGAGUCGCUAAUAUCUGUACUUUGAUAAGAUUCGAGAUUUAGUCUUUAAGUGUUUUUUUAUUUAAAAUAUAAGUUUAAUCAUUAAAAUCGUAAAUAAUUUUUGUCAAAAUUGGUUAACUUGAAAUUUUAAUUAAGAUAUCCUCAUAUGAUGUAUAAUUUACAGAAAAUAAGCAUAUUAAAUUGGCAAUUCUUGAAAACUACUAAUGAUGAUGUUGAUAAUUAUUACACUAAUAUUUUUAAUUUGAAAAAAAAUAAGAGUAUUGAAUUUUUAACUUGUAAAAUAUAUGGAUUAAUAUUAAAUUUUAUAUAAGUAUAGGGACUAACAACACAUUUUUAACAUGUGGUUUUUGACUUCAUAAUUGUGUCUUUUUAUUAUUUGCUAUAAUAUGUAUUUUCAAAAUAUUUGUUUUGGAGGUUACUUCAACACUGUCAGGUGUCAAGUUCAAGAUAAUAUCAAAUCAUCACAAGAGUGAAUGUUAUUCAUGUCACAAGUCAUCGAUUGCAAAAUAUAGUUAACACAACUUUAACUCACAUUGAUAUCGAGUUUAAAGUUAUAAAAUUUGUGUUGCAAAUUUAUUUGCUCGUUGGCUCAACCAACCCAUUUAAUAUAUAGAAAGUGACAAUUAUGAGAGUCAAAAUUCGCUUCUCUAUAUACCUCGGCUCAUUUCCCUUCUCUUCCCACUAAAUAUUUUCUCAAACUUUCAAAACUCUUUAGAAAACCCUUAUUAUUUUCAAAAAUUUUUUGGGAGAAAAAGUGAUCAUUUUAGGUUUUAGGAAGAACAUGUAACAAAUCAUGUUGUCAAUAUAGUAAACAGGGGUGAAGUCAGAAUUUUGUUUAGGGGGGUCGAAAUUAAAUUGUAAUUUUUACGAUAGUAAAAAUACAAUUUCACCAUUUUAAUAGUCUAUAUAUUUAUAAUUUUUAAAGAAUUAAAUCAAAUUUUUAUCAUUUUAGGGGGCCAAAGUGCACUUUUACCUUUACUAAUUUAAAAUUUUAAAGGGCCUAAAUAGAAAAUUUUUCAUUUUAAGAGAAUCGGGCUCCCUUUCAGCCCCCUAACUACGCCCUUGAUAGUAAAAGUUCUAACUUAUUUUUAAAAUUUUUUUGUUAUAUUUAUAGAAAUAUUUUUAAGAUUUUACAAAUUUAAAUAUGUUUUUUGUGGCAUUUCGAACAACAAAAAUACUGAGUUGUUCGUGCUCGACGUAAUUUAAAAUUCCCAAAGCUCAAUUGACACAUUACAGACCAUUUAAAAAGUGUUGAUGAUAAGUGUUAAAAGUAAUAUAUUUUAACCUCAUUCUUAAUUCGUUUUUUGGUGAUUAUUCGAUGUUAAUUGUAAAUUUUACGCUCUUAAUCCUUUAAAAUCGUCUUUUAAUGCUUAAUAGAGCACUUGGGAGCAAAAAGAGUAAAAAACGAGCGAAAAUUGGAGUUUUGAAGCAAGUUAUGAGAGCCAUAUGGGUUGAACCAUUCCAAAUAGCCAGACCACACGGUCGUGUCGAUUUCACGGAAUUACACACCGAAUAGCGGAAAAUCAUGAUUUUUAGGUUUUUCGAGCAUUCUAAUAUGUAUAUAUGACAAAAAUAAGAAGAUAGGAGGGAGCCGUUAGAGAAUAUUCAAGAAAAUAACUCGAAAAAUACCAUUAAAGCCAACUCUAAAGCAGAUUUCCAUCAAGAUUGAAGAUUCGUAAUUGAUUUAUUAGGAAUUUAUCAUGAGUUUCUUUAUUUCUUUUUGUUAUAUUGUCUCUUGGAUGUUUUUAUUUUCAAGUAUGAACUAAUUUUCUAAAUACAUAGAGAAGAUAAACCCUAUGAUAGAUUUUGUCAUUUGCCUUUUAUUUUAUUUCACAGUAACGCGACCCACUUGCCUAUUCGACACUAUUGUUCUAGACCCUUGUAUGAUAUUAGUGAGGUAUCCGAUCAUGUCGACACCCCUCCAUCAUAAUGUAUAAUUUAUGAUUAUGAUGAUGAAAAUAACAAUAAAAAAAUCUAAAAUUUACUUAAUCUGAGUCGAACACACCUCAACUUCUCUAUCGAUUGCAUCAUUUUUAUUUCAUUAUAUAAUAAACAUUAAAAAUUAAAAAUUCCAUACAAUCAAGACAUUGAAGAUACCAACUAACAAGCUACAAAUUAACAAAUCAUAAAUAAAUGGCAGCAUAACAAAAAGAGCAUCACAUUAUUGACUUCUUAUUUUUAUUUGACCUCCACAUGGCCAACAUGUCCUUUUUCUUUACAUUUUAUACACUUAUCGAAUUUCACUUUAUAAAUAAAAAAUACUAAAGGACAUUUUUAAGAAUAUCAAUGGUCAUUACUAUAGAAGAAUUUAAAUUUAGUCCUUCAAUCUUUAUAUUUAAGAAUUUUAAUUUUUUUACUUUAUAAAUUUCAAAAUUCAAGUAAUUAUUUACCUUAUUAAAAUUAUUUUAUAAAUUCAAGUUCGACGUAAUUUUUUUUAUGUUCAUUGCUAUCAAGUGAGUUUUUUUUUUAAUUUCAAAAUGUUAUACCAAAAAAUUUAACAAUAUUAACAAUUGGACCUGAAUUUUACAAUUUGAAGAAUAGAGAGACUAAAUUCUUAAAAAAUAAAAGUAUAAUGACUAAAUUCCAAAUAUGUAAAGAGUGUAGUGAUCUAUGACAAAUUUUUAACCUUAAAUUAUAUAUAAAUUAUUUAGGAUUACAUUUUUGAAAUACAUAAAAAUAUGAAAAUUAAAUUCAUUACUAAACAAGUAAUUAAAAAAAAUAGUUAAUAGAUAGGGAGAAUAUUUGUUACACCAUCAGUGCAUGAGUUUUCUACAUCAUCGGUAAAUAAUAAUAUGACAAUAAAUACAUACUAAUAAAAUUAUUUAAACAUAAUUAAUUAAUUAAUUAUAAACCUCAGUAAUAUUUAUUUAUAAUUAAUAUUUAAUUAUUCUUAAAUAAAAUGGUUGAUAUUAACAAAUUUUAAUGAAUAUUUUAUUUAAUAUUUAAUAUUUCAAAAUAUACCAAACAAUUUAAAAAAAAUUCAAACCCAAUUGUAGCGACCUAAAAUUUGGGCACGGGCGCUAGUCGAAGUGAUUAUGGAAAAUUUAAAAGCAGAGUCUCGAUUUUAUUUUAAAAAGGAGUCGCCACCGAUCUUUUUUCUAGGUGUGAUCGGACACCUAAUAAAUUCUCUUUUUUAAAGGAAACAUUAUUUUUCAAAUUUUCUAAAAAAAGAGAGUCAAUUUUAGGUCCACGUCAAAUUCUAGAGAAAAUUAGGGUUCGGGAGUCGGUUACGCGUGAGGAAGGUAUUAGCACCCUCGUGACGCCCAAAAUUGGCAUCUUUUUAAACACGUGUUGUCUUAAUUUUCAAAAAUACGAGUUCAAAUUAAUAUUUAAUCGUGAUCCGAUUGAAACACGGGAAUUUCUUGUUUUGAAAACACGAGAAUUUUGAGACAAUAUUUUUUUGAAACAAGAGAUUUUUUUGAAAACACGAGGAUUUUUUUUAAAAAAACAAGAAGAUUUGUGAAACACGAGAAUUUUUGAAUACGAGGAUUUUUUGAAGACACAAAAAACACAAUUUUUUUUCUAAAACAUGAGAAUUUUUAAGUUUUUCAAUUUUUAAAAGGGUGUCCCGAAUUUAACACGAGCUAAAUAUAUUCAUCCAACAUAGCGAUGAAAAUAUACGGCUUAAUGUUAAAUCGGUUCGUCGCCUUAUUUAUGAAAAUUAAAAUUAAAAAUAAUAAAUUAAAUACUAAAUAUAUAAAAAUGUUAAAAAAAUAUCGGGAAUAUUAAACAUGAAAUGUGAUAAAAAUACAUAAAUUAAAUUUAAAGUGGGUAAAAAAUUACCGAAAAGCCCAAAAAUACGAGCUUGAUUGACAGGGAUACACGACUUGGCUUUUUUCUUUUUUUUUUUCUCUUUGUUUUUUCUGGCUUGCUGCCUCUGGGCCUGGGACUGGUGGGACUGUUGGGCUGCUGCGCUGCUGGGCUACACUGCUAUUGGGCCAAUCUGCUGGCCUGCUUUUUCUUUCUGCUGGGCUGCUGGAAUGCCCUGCUGCUGGUGGCCUGCUAUUUUUUCUGCUGCUUUUUUUGGCUGUUAUUGGGCUGUUGCGGAAAUGGGCUGCUGGGGGCUGCUGUUGCCUGCUGUUUGGGUCGGGUCCAGAUCGGGUCGGGUCGACCCGACUAUUCAAAAAAUAUUUUUAAAUUUUUUUCUUCUUCUUCUUUUUCUUUUUCUUUUUCUUUCUUCUUCUUCUUUCUUUCUUUCUCUUUUUCCCUCUUCACCCUAGCUUGCACCGCCGCCUCUUUCACACCGCCGCUGCCGUCUCCGCCGCUUGGCCGCCGUCGGACCCUCUCCUCUUCUCCUCUUUCUUUUCUUUCCUCUUUCUUUUGCUGCUGAAACUUUUUUUUUGGUAAUUGGGGUUCCCGAUUUUUGGGGUUUUAAGCCCAAUUUAUAGCUAAUUUUCUUGCCCUUUUUGCAGGGAUUAGGUGGCUAGGGGAGAGGGAGGCCAUGCCUUAGGCCGGUGGCCGGAAAUCACGGGGUAGGUGUGCAAGUUGCUGCCAGAAGGACCAAAAUGUAGACGUAGCAAAAGUUUUGGGACCGAAACAUAAUUUUGAGAAAGUUUAGGGGUCAAAAUGUAAUUUCAAAAAAUUUAGGGGUUAAAAUAUAAUUUAAAAAAUUUAGGGGUAAAAAUGUAAUUUUAAGAAAGUUUAGAGGUCAAAAUGCAAUUUUUAAAAAUUGAGGGGUCAAAAUACAAAUUUUAAAAAAAUAAAAUCGAACCGGACAAAAUUCAGUGCUUACACCAAUACUUAUUAAAUUCCAUAUUAAAAAAAUUAAUAUUUUAUUUUUAGCACUUAUAUAUAUAUUUUUCAGUUAUCAAACAUCGUCUAAUCCAAUUAGGAAGUCACCUAAAAACCAAACCAUUAUAAAUUUGUAAGUUCAUAACAAUAAUUUUAUUUUUCAAAAAUAAAAUACUAUUAAAUCAUUAAUUCCCCUUUUCUUUAAAUAUUUUUAUGUUCAUUUUACGGUUUAGAAUUUGUACCCGUCCCUCCGGCAAUAUUAUUUUCAAGAUUCAAGCAUGCAUUCUUUUCUUAAAAAUGAAAUAUGUGUUUACUAUCACACCAACAUUUAUAAGUAAUCCACUUCUUGUAUUUAAAGUGAUUUGGGUAUAUACUCCAAUGAUACUAUUGUUCCGUACCCUUAUGGAAGAAUAUUCGGAUAAAAUAUGCACUUUCUCGGGAAUGAAAAAAAAUCGAUCUACUUUCAUUCGAUAUUUUGGCUUAACCUUUUUGACUCCUCGAUACUCAAUCACAUCCUCCCUUUUAACGAUUGAAUGCGUCCCUAGAGUCUCAUAUUUAGUAAUUCCCGAACUCUUUCUUUUGUAUCGAGGAUUGUCAAAAAAAGCAAGAAUACUUUUUCUAUAGAAAAUACCAUUCAUGGGUAUUUCCAUCGAGAUACCGGAAUGAAAAUACAACAUUAGUUCAUUUUCUUAGUCUUAAAUAAAUUGAAAUGGAAUAAUAAAUCUAUUUCUUCGUCUCUUUACCAAUAAAUCAGCAUUCUCAGGGAGAAUAGUUUCUAAAAUAAUGUAAAUAUAUUAUUUUACUUCUUUAUAUUUUCUUUUAUUUUGUGAUCUAUAUUGUGUAAAUAUUUAAUUAUUUAUAAUGUAGUUAUAAAAAAAAAACAUAUGUAUAAGGUGUCCAUUCAACUUGUAAUAUAUAUUAGAAAUGCAGCACUUCCUUUUUUUAAUUAAUUGGUCUACAUAUAUUUAAUUUUCGAUUAAAUUUUGUAAUAUAUAUUAAAAUUUUCUAUACUUUUCCUUCCUUUUAUUUAUUUAAAAUUUAGUCUUUCUACUUUUCGAAUUUAUUAUUUUCGAUCUUUCUAUUAACUCUAUUUAAGAAUUAAGUAUAAUUACAAAUUUAACCCCUCAAUCUUUAUAACAUUAUCGAUUUGACCCCUACUUUUUUUAUUUUAUAAAAACUAUAAAAAUUAUAAAAAAUGUAUUAAAAGUUGAAAAAAUAUAGAAUAAUUAUAAAAUUAUAAAAUUUUCCAAAUGUGUCAAAAGAUUAAAGAUAGAAAAAAAAUAGAACUUACUGUUAAUCACUACCAGAUAUUUUAACUUGCAAUUUUUGUUUAGAAACAAUAAAUACUAUGUUGUACUAAAAAAAUAUCAUGUAUAUUUAACCAAAACCAUUAGAAAUUUAAUGUUGAUAAAUUUAAAUGUUUGUAAAUGAUGUUGUAGCUAGUCCCUCUGAUAAGGGGCAAACAGAAGUAGAUCGUAUUCAAAUUGUUUGAUCUGAGAAAAAAGAUUCAGGUCUGACCUAAAAAGAAGAAACCAAACAGAUUUAGGAAAACAGAAAAGACAAAGAAAAUAACAAAAAUAAAAAAAAUUAAGAAUAAAGAAUAAAUAUUCAAAAUAAUAAAUAACUAAAGAAAUGAUAGAAUAAAAAGUGCAAGAUGGAUCGGAUAAAUCGAUGGAUAUGACAAAUAGUGUAACAACCCGAAAGUCAGGGGUGUUGAAAACAGUGGUUUCGGAAUCCCAUUUCCGAUGAUCGAGUCCGUAAAUAUUAUUAUUUAAUAUUUAUGAGAUUAUUAUAAAUUUUAAUUGAAUUUUGUUCCAUUAAUUUUGUUAAUCGAAUAGUUAAUUAACGUACAAUGACUAAAUUGUAAAAGUGAUAAAAUUUAAUCACUAUAGAUUUUAAAUAAGUAAGGGAUCAAAAUAGUGAAUAUACCAUUUACAAAUGUCCAAGUGGUCAUGGAUGUCAUUAAAUUCCAUUGACACACCCCAAAAUAUUUGAGAUUAGUUGUAAUGAUUAAGCAAGAAUUAAGCCUUAGGCUUGAUAAAAAAUAACUUGUACAUUCUUUAGAGAUCUUAAGUUCAAAGCACAUCUCUUCCAUUUUUCAUUUUUAAAUUUUCUACAACCUAGGAUUAAAACCAUAUCAGAAUAAAUAUUAUUUGGAGUAGAAAUUUAUCAAGAGAUGGGCAGUAGCUUAAUAGUUGAGCACUUGCUUUUUCCUCUUGCACAACCAAUUCAAACCACCCCAUUCCCAAGUCAUUUUCAUUUUAUUUCGACAAAAUAGGGGAAAUUACCAAGUAGUCCAUCAAAUUUGAAAACUCUAGCUAUUUAGUCUCUUUUCCCUAAUUACAUUAGGAUUAUGUUUAUUUUUUCAUUCCAAUUAGAAUUUAUCUUCUCUCUCCCUAUUUCUUUUCAUAUUUCUUUUUCAUCCUCUUCUUUGCAUUAAAUUUUCUCUCCAUUACUGAAAUUAUUUUGCUCUCGAUAUCAAAUCAAUCCCCGAAAAAUCGAUUCUCUACCGAUUGUUGAAUUUAUCGUUGGUAACCUUCAUAAUUCCAUCAUGUUCGGUAUGUACAUCUCAUUCUAAAAAUUAGACCCCAAAUUUCAUAGAAUUUCUAUCCGAAAUUAAUCUUUCAAAUCAAUUAGUCAAUCUAUAAUGGUUCUUGACAAAUCUUUCAUUAAUAUCAUUGAAUCAUGAUAAAUUUUGGAAAACAAACGUUAACCUGUGUGAAAUUGUCGUUUAAAGGACCUGUUUUAGGUGCAACGGAUCAGAUUUGAGCACGAGAAAUGUCGUUCGAGAUCUCGGUGACAGGUGUGUGUUCUUUUACAAGCAAAUCGGGGCAAUUCGUGUCUCAGGCAUGUGGACCACACCAUCAUGUCCCCCUAAAGCCUUAAGAAUUUUAAAUCUCUCACACAACCAAAGUCUUCCACACGGCCUGCCACACAGUUGUGUUUCCCUUGUACCUUGAUUUUGAAAUUAACACACGACCUAGCCACACGAUAAUUGAAUGAUCCAUUUAGCCACACGACCUAGUCAAAUUUUACAGUUUUAACCAUAAUUUUAUGUUUUGAUCCAUUUAGUCCUUAAAUGAUCCUUGAACUGUUUUAGUGUUUGAUUUUAUUCAAUUAUAUGUAGCAGUGUGUAGCGGUGGGGUAGAACCUUUUCUGAUAAUUGAAAUUGCAUUGCAUUCAUAAGCAUAUGCAUAGUGGUGAACAUUGAGAUAUUGUGACAAUGAGAUGAAUUGAAAAAUCAAUAUUCUGAAAUUACUAUUGUGAAUUCUGUGAUACUAUUAAUGAUUAGUUGAAAAAUCGAUUAUCUGAUUUGCUAUUUGAUUGCGAUUAUACUAUGUGUUAUUAUCUAAUAUGACCUAUUGACUGUUUCCACUGAUCUUCUCAUGAUUGAACUCACACUGAGCUAUAUAUCUCACUCCCUUUUAUUCUCCAUCUUUACAAAUAACUCAUCAGGUUAGGACGCAGAUACGACAUUCGGAGGGACUCGACUUGAUUUUGUCUAUCAUAAUAUUUUAGAUUUAUUAUUUGAAAAUUUUUAUUAUCCAGAAAGUGUAAUAUUUUAUUUAAAUUGUGGCAUGGGACUUAAGUUUUUUUGGGGAUUAUUCAGCAUGCAUGACCCUUAAUUAUGAUUAGGUUGUUAAAAUUAAGGAAUUUAAUUAUCAUUUCAUGAGAUACAACUUCUAUUAAACCUAAGAUUUAGAUAUCAAUUUAUUCGCUAAAAGAUCAUGAUUGAAAGAUCCUUAUUGUAUACUAUUUACGAAAGCAAUUCAUCCAACUGUUUUACCACUGACCUUGUCAUAUGUGUGUUACCCUCAUAUGAUAUCAUUAAUUUCAUGUAGUUAAAUUUGUUCACUCAAUACGUCUUCUUAAUGAGUAAUAUGAUCAUUGUUAGCAAGCGAAUGUGAUAAAUUGCUCGUUCUCAAACGAGUAACUCGUGGUCACGUUCCAUAUUUAUCAAUCCACACAAUGCCAAUGAGAGGAUACCAUUAACUCUUUAAUCGAGUUAUGAAUUUCAUUGUUGCUAGUAAAGCCAUUCCAUACACAAGUCAUGUGCCCAACAUACCGUCUAUGGGCUCGAUCAUUUUUAAAGCACAAGCCUCCACUUAUAUCAAAGCACAUGAGUUACAUACGCAUGGUUAGUAACUAACUCAGGAUUUAGGUAAAUCACAUUAUGAACGUCACAAGUGAAUUAAUUCACAAAUGGAUUCAGAAUUAAUUCAACUUGGAUUCAGUUCGAUAUAUCAUUCUUCCAAUGAGUACAUCUAUGUUUUUACCCGUGGAGUCAACUACUCUGAUAGACAAUACUAGCUAUCUCUACAAUUGGAAUUGUAGACGACAUAAUAAUCCUUCUAAGUAUUUGAAUAAAAUGCUCAUUUUGAUUCUUUUAUGGGAUUACGGGUUCGUUUAGAUUAUCUACUGAAAGGGUCCGUUUGAUUGCCAGUAAAAUGUUUUCCGUAAAAUGAUUUCUGAAAAAUAUUUUACUUUUCUGUAAAAUGAUUUACUGGAAAAUAUUUUCUGGUGUUUGAUUGAAUCUGUGUAAAAUAUUUUCUGCUGUUUGGCAGAUUUCCUGAAAAUAUUUUCCGGAAAAAUUGUUUUUACAUAUAUUAAUAUAUAUUAAUAAAUUUUUAUAUUUUAAAUUAUUUUUACAUAUAUUGCAAUGAUUUAUUUAUAAAUAAAUAAAUCAAAUUAAAUAUAUAAUAAUACUCAAUUAUUAAAAUAUAAAAGCAUUGCAAACUACUUCCGAAAUUUACUAAUUAGUAGUGAAUCAAUUGUAGUGAUCUCUUGAUGAAAUUGCGCUCAGCAUAAAAGCAAUUUUUUUGUUGUCUUACAAACAACACAAAUAGCAUCAUUAUCAAAUUUCAGCCACUCUCAAGUAUAACCAAUUCCUUAGCCAACCAAUCUACAUUGUAACACAAAGCUAUCUCCUAUAAAAUUUAUCCCAAUGCAAACAUUUACAGACAUAAAUAUGUAUAUAUGUAUGCAUUCAACAAAUACAUAACCAUAUGCAUGCAAUCAACUAUGUUCUAGGAUAGAAUUGUGGGUGUGAUAGGACCCAUAAACUUCUUCCCAUACAAAAACGACAUUGGCAAAUACACCAUUCGACAAUGACACCACAUUCUUCCUACAGAAUUAUACAAAAUUAUUAUCUAGAGUAGAAUAAUGUAGAACCUUUGGAACAGAUAUAAGACCUGUAAAAGGGAGACUAUUUAUUAACAAACUUUUGAAAGGAAUCAUGUUCUAGGAUCCACUUACGUGCUUUCUCAAUUGCCCUUUCUCCACCUUCAGCACCUUCACCAAGCAGCUUCAAGCUAACAUAAUUUAACACAGUACCAAACAUGGUGCUUGGACCUUCAAUGUGAAGACCCCAACCACCAUCUCUAUUUUGCAAGAAAACAAACAACUCUCAGAACAGAGCAAUUUUCUUCAUUUGUUUAUAUGGUAAUGACAAUGCCAACUGACAUCGAAUAGUUAGUAAAAGGCAGUUGACUUAAAUGGGUUGGUUUUCCUUUCAUCCAGAUAGCACUAUGCUUGCUUAGAACAAGCUCAACUGAUGUGAGAAACAUUCAAGAGAGCUAGCAGACAAUAAUAACAUAAUUAUGUCAUAAUUAGUUCAUAACAUAAUAUCUACUCAACAAGUGGAAAUCAUAAAAUCUUAAACACACACAGUGCACAUUGCUUGCCUGAUGAUUGAACAGAUAUCUUAAUAUCUCAUAUUGAUGCUCCUUUGAUAGGACAAUAUUCAAGGCUCCAGUAACAUAUAAUGUAAUAACCUGUUGCAGUUUAUAAAUAAAGCUUAAAUUACAUAUCAUCCAAUUAUUAGUUGUUGAGAGAUGCAACAAUGUCAAGGUAAUCAGAAAGCUAUUGAAAUGUAAUUAUCAGGGGAUCUUAGAGUUAAAAAGAUAGACAUAAUGACAAAAUAAAGGAUUGGUUCUUCCGCUACACGUACAAAUGUGAAAUGUCAAAAAAUUUUAAGAAGCAGCAAUUUAAUUUCUUUGUAGAUUAAGCCACAGAAAAGACAUUAGUAAUAUCCACAUUAACAGACAGAUUAGAAUCAGAUAUAGCUUUGUUAAGCCUUACCAAACCAGGAAGUAGAAACAUAGGGCCCCCAUAAUCUCCUGGCCAAUGACUAUCAUCUGCUUGUAUUGUUGAAUAAAAAUCAAGGGCACUGCGUAAUGUUGUCAUUACAGCCUCUUCCUUGACAUCUUCAAACUCUUCCAGUUUGGUUUGUGGUAAAUUAGUGACAGAUUGUUUCUCCUCCGCAAACUACAUCCAGAAAGAACUAUAAUGACCUUCAAAAUGCAAAAUGGCUAAAACAAACAACAAUGGUUUAGACGACGUGUCAAAAACAAGAAAUCUUUUCUCCACUCCUUAACUGUUUCCAUAUAAUCUGGAUAUGAAGUUUACCACAGCAGAAGAGAAAAGUUUUAAGCUUCUUCUUUUUCCUUUUUUGAAGUUUUUUGUCAAAUCAUGAAAUCAAUCAUAGAAGUAAAAUUUCCCUGCAAUGGAAAGACUAAAGAGAACUAUAUGGAAAUCCCAACAGCAGAGAACCAAUUCUUCCAAACUUGGAAAACAAAUUUCAUGAACAACUAAUUAACAAAAAACCCCAAAUCCCAAUUUCAACAUCCAUAUUAACCUGAAUUCUCAUGAGAAGAUCAGAACUGUGUUUUUUGUGGAAACGGUUAUCCCGAAAACUCUGACGAGCCAUUUCCACCUUAGAAAGCUCUUUCGGGGUUCUUGAUUCAGGGCAGAAUUCCCAGACUUGAUGAACGCCGGUGUCUGGUGUUAAGAAUCGAUGUUGGCUGAUGGCAAGAAUAAGAUCAGGUGUCAAGGAUAGGGGAAGGGGAAGGGGAAGGGAAAGGGAAAGGAAAAUUUUCUUGAAAAUGUCUUACUGAAUUAGAAACGGUAAAACAUUUUCCAAAAUUAAAGGCUUCUUUUUCCCGUGUUUGUAAUUGAUUUUACGUGAGGAAAAUAUUUUCAGCCAAACAAACACUAGAAAAGGCUGAAAACCUUUUCCGGAAAAUGUUUUACUACAAUCAAACAGACCCUAAGUUGUUUUUCUUACAAUGUAAAUGUUCUUACAGUGCCACUUAUCAUCAGUUUGAACUUAGACAACCAAUGAACUAAUAUUUGUUUGUCACAGUUUUGCUAUGCAUGUAGAACACGAAAGACAGAAACAUAAAAGAUAUAAUAGUGAAAUGUAAAAUUAACUUUAUUUAUUUAUUCAUCGUUCAAAUACAUGGAAAACAAUUACAUGUUUACGACAAUAUAAACACAUUUCCCAACACUUACUAAGCAUCUGAAAUGGUUACCCCAUUAUCUUCCUUUUUUUGUAGAUUACCAUCUUGCGGAACAUGUCGAUCAAAUUUACGAGAAUCUCACAAUACCCUGUCAUUGAUUUGGUUUUGUGGCAUGUUAAUAGGAGUUAUGCUUUUGGUAAUAUAGAUGUUAGUAUUGUUGAACCUUUCUAAUGUUUGAAUGUUUGGUAAAGUAAAGCUUAUUUGAACAUGUUGUUUGGUAACAUUUUGAACUAUAGGUGUGAUACUUGAUAUGGUAUAUUUGAGCAUGAAUGGCAUGAUUAAAUGAUGGUGUGGAAUGGCUAUAUGUAUAAUUGAAUUUAUAUAAGUUGAAUUAAAAUGAUUUGAUGCCAAAUUGUGGCAUAUUGGUCUAAUUGAUUGGGUAAAUAGUUAAAUAUAUGUUUGGCACGUGUUUUGGCAUAUUCUUGUGCAGGUAAUGUUAUGCAAAAAUGUACCAACUUUGUAUAAUGGUUUAGUUGGUUGAAAUAGUCACCAAAAGGCCUAUUUUGUGUCAAAAACAGAGUCCAUGUCACUAAGUCAAGUAGUGGUCAUCGCGAUGAGAUCUGGGUUUUGGACCACAACAUGACAAAGAACCCCGUCAUCUCAACGAGGCAAAACAAACGAUCACGUUGUGACGAAGAACUCUUCACAUUGCGAUUUCAGGUUAACUUCAGAGCAUUCAUAGGCUCGUAUAAGACCCGAGAAAGUUUGUAUUUGAUGUUUAUCAAUUGAAAUAAUUAUUAUGUUUGUAUGAUUUAUGCUUAAAUUGAGUGAUAGUUGUCUGUAGUUUUUCCAACAAUGACUGUAGUAUUCUGUAACUCAAACCCGACGAUCGGGUUGCGAGGGGUGUUACAGAUAGAUGAAUAAGUAUCCAAUUGAACCCUUUGAAAUAUAAACCCCAACAAACUCAAUUAAGGGCUCUAAUCAACCCUCAAAGAAAUAAUCCUUGGUAAAUUGAAGGAUGAAGAAUGAAUUCACACGACUUCUUAAAGAAAAUUGAGAAGAAAACCGUUUCUAAAAAUUAUAAGAAACCAAUUUUGCACAAAGAAACUAACUCCCAGAGUUGGAAAUUUUAUUAAUGAACAAAAAAAUAAUUAUGUAUCUAAUGAACAAUUAAGAGGUUUUUAUAUAGGCUUAGCUAAGUACAUCCAAAUAAAACUCUCGAUUAUAUUCAAGCUCUAAUUAAUCUAAACAAUACGUAGUUUUAAAUCAAACUUUUUUAUUUAAUAAGAAACAUAGAAUACCUAAAUAACUUAAAAUACUUAAAAAAUUUCAAAAUUCGGAAUAAAUAAAUAAUAAAAUAACAAAACAUAAUAAAUACAAUAUUGGGCUCAUAUAAAAUAAAAGUUAAGCUUAAAAAUCGAAUCCAAUAUGAUUUAAACUUGAAUUAAAAGUCCAAAACUUGUAAUUUUCGUAAUAAUUCCAUCUAGAAAUUUUAGUUGCACAGUUUUUACUAAAAUUGUCAUAACUUGAGCUCCUAAACUCGAAACCGAGUGAUUCAAGAUAUGUUUCGAAGCUAAGAGACAGAUCUUUGAACAUAAUAAAGACAUCUCAACCCAGAACAUGUUUGGAUUCUAUCCUAAACGUUAUCAUAAGUCGAAUAAUUUUUUCAAACUUAAAAAUUGACAGCUUUAGUAAAUAAAAUUUAAUAAAUUUCACCUAUGUAUCCCCUGAUCAAGAAUAAGCUUGAGCCACGUCUUCAUUUUAGUAAGAGUCGGUGUGUAGCAUUUAUUCAGACAAUAAUUCAAUCUAUUUGUUAUAAACCAUGAAAUUUCGUUUGAGUUUCCACGUGAUAGAGGCAACACUUGCCCAAUCAAAGGGAAAAAAAAAAAUCCUAUUUUAUAUAUCUAGGAUAUAAAAUACUACAAGACCCAAAAAGACAGGUGCGUAGCUAGUUUGCGGUUUGCAAAUAUAUCAUAUCAUUUACUAACAUUUAUAUUCAUGAACGUUAAAUUUCUUAUGAUUUUUUUUUAUAUAAAUAUUGAUGAUACUUGUUGCUACAUGAAAAUAGUAUGUUAAAAUCUCUAGUAACAACGAAUUAAUAGUAAUUUUUUUAUGUUUUUCUAUCUUUAAUUUAUGGUUACUUUUGGGGAAAUUUUAUAAUUUUUCUAUAUUUUUUUAACUUUUUAUAAAUUUCUACAAUUAAAGAAAAAAGAGUAAGGAUCAAAUUGGUAAAAAUUGUAAAAAUUUAGGGUUAAAAUUUAUUAUUAUACAUAAUAUUUUAAUAGAGUUAAUGAAAAAGUUAAGAAAAUACCUGAAAAUGAUCCAAUCGAAAAGCAAAAAAGAAACAAAUUUUAAGCAAAUAAAAAUAAAGGGACUAAAUCCACACAAAUCAAUAAAUACAGAAACUAUUUUUAAAAUUUAACCUAUUUUCCCUUCGUCUCUACCAUAAAUAAUGACAUUUAAUCUACUAAUAAAUUGCAAUAAUAAAGUCUAGCUAAUUCAUGCAAUCAUAAUCACUACGACUUUGCUUAUAUUUAAAAAAAAAUACCAAAGUCUUUCUUUUAUAAACAAAAAUCUCCAAUCCUUUUCAAUUUAAAAAUUGUCAAAUUAAUCCCUCUCAAAAACAUUGAAGUAUUUUAAUCUCUCUAAAAUUUGAAAGUGAAUAACUAAAGACAAUUAAUCACGACAUUAAAAUUUUCCAUCAAUUGUACAUGAUUUUAAUUGGUAUAAUAAUAAAUUUAGCCCUCAAAAUUUACACAUUCUUUCGAUUUGGUCCUACCUUAAUAGAUAUAUCCCUCAACAUUUGUAGAAAUAUGUAAAUAUUGAGGCUAAAUUUGUUGAAUUUAUAGAAUUAAGGUCAAAAUGACAAAUAUUUAUGUAAACUUUGAAGGCUAAUUUUUUUUACUAUUCCAAUCAAAUUUUGUACAACUAAUGGGAGAUUUCGUGCUUAAUUGUCUUUAAUUGUCCUGGUUUAAAAUUGAUAGGGAUUACAUUUCACCCAUUUUUUAGAGAAUCAAUUUACUAAAUUUUUAAAUUUAGAGGGGACGGUUUCUACCGUCUUUUUUUUCAUCAAAAGACAGUUAAAAAUGUGGUUACGUACUUUUAUAAUAUAAUAUAUUAUAAUGAAAUAUUAAAUUAAAUUAGAGUUACGAAUUAAUUCGAUACUUAUUUCAUUAAAAAAUAUAAAUAAAUCUAAUAUAUAAUAAAAGUAAUAUAUUACUAAGACUAUAAUAUAUAUAAAAACACGAAAUUUGAAUUAACGAAAAUAUUUUCUAUUUUAUAUAAAUUUAAAUUAAUUUUAUUUGUUUCUUUCAUGCACGUAUGAAGUAGAAGAUAUUUAAAUAGAUAAAUGGUAAGACGUAAGAAAUUGUAUAUAUACAUUGUAAGACAAACAAUAAUGGUGUCAGUUAUGUCGGAAAAAAAGCAUCUCAUGCGCUUUUGGUGAGAAGAAGAAGACGUGUUUUACGUGUGCCUCUUUCCUCCAUGAAUCUUUUAAAAACAAAACAAACUCAGCUUUGAAGAACAUCAUCGGACGAUGGCGGCGGGUGGUGUUGUUUGGGUGACAUUUCCCAAACAGAAUUUGAUACCACCACCAAGGAAGAGAUUUGGUCGGAAACUCAGGACCGGCGUCCCACUGAUCUCAUCGACGGCGGAAAGAGCAUAUUCAGAAGAAAAGGUGCAUGAGGUGGUGUUGAAGCAAGCCGCUUGGGUUAAACAACAGAGGCCAAACGAAGGAUGCAAAGAUUGGGAUCUGUUGAAUGAAGCUUAUGAGAGGUGUGGUGAAGUCUGUGCGGAGUAUGCCAAGACUUUCUACCUGGGUACGUAUGUCCUCUCAUUUUCACCUUGGGUCAAAUAAUAUUACCAAUUUUGAAAAUAAAAAUAAAAAUUUUAUCCGUAAAAAUAUAUUUAUUCUAUAAAAAGUAUUGCUUUACCUUUAAUUGAAACUGGAAGUAUAUUUAUUAAUAAUUCCAGAAUAAUAUUAAAAAUCUUAUUUAGUCAAAUAUUUAUAUUUUAAACUUUAAACUUUAAAUUUUGAACAAUAUUAUAAGUUCUAACCUUUUUUGUUUUUGCACAAUACCUAGAACUCCCUAUAGUUUCUCCACAACUCAUAAAUAGGAAGAUAAUUCGUUUCAAUAAACUCGAACUCUCAUACUUUUACAUUUUUAAUAAUAUUUGAUAUUUAAUAGAGAUGUACAUAACACCUUAGUUACACAACUCACUUGAGAAUGUGUACUUAAAAUUAAAUAUUAAUAAGCUGACCAUUUUCUACUAGCUUAAAUUUUAAAAAUAUUUAAUUAUCUUUUUUUAGGAAAAUGGAUUUAAUAUAUUUGAAAUUAUUUGAUACUCUAAGUGGAGGUUUUAGACUUCACAAGCAGGAUUAGAAGGUUAACAAAUGUUCUACUGGAAACUAGUAAAAUAUUAUAUAUAUAUAUAUAUUAAAAAAAGACACAUGUCAAAUUUUAAAGUUGUUUGUGAAAUAAUUAGGCUUAAUGACAGAUUUGGCCAUUAACGUUUACAUGUUUUGUCAAAAUGAUCCUAAUUGUAAUUUUUUAGCCUUUUUUGGCCAUCAACAUUUAUUUUUUUUCAAACUGCUUCUUCUAAAAAAUUUGAUGAAAGUUCCGUUAAAAAAAUUAACGAGGAUGAUGUGGCAUAUUUUUAAUAAAAUGUAAUUUAUUAUUUAGGUAACCUAAUAAGAUAAUUACAUGUGAAAAAUAAUAAAAAUAAAUAAAUCAUACAUAAAAUUAAAAAAAUAAGUCUUAAUUUACAGAAAAUAAAUGUAGUUAUCUAAAAAAGUGUUUCAAAAUGAAUGCAUACGUUUGUUCACUAAAAGGUUUCAAAAAGAUAAUUAAUAAAUCAAACUAAAAACACUGAACGUGUGCAUUCAUUUUAAAACAUUUUUUUAGAUAAUUAAGUUUAUUUUCUUUAAAUUAAGAUUUAUUUUUUAACGAAUUAUUUUUUAUUAUUAUUAUCCACGUGUAAUUAUUUUAUUGGAUUAUCUAAGCAAUAAAUUACAUCUCAUUAAAAAUAUUCCACAUAUAAAAUUCCACAUCAUCCCAUUAACUUUUUUUAAUGGCACUUUCAUCAAAUCUAUUAAAGAAAAACAAUUUGAAAAAAAGAAAAACUCAAAAAUUUAAUUAGGAGAUUAAGAUUUCUCCAUAUCCAAUUUAUGGAAGGAGCUGUUUGUUGUUGUUUGAAGGUACAUUGCUUAUGACACCAGAACGUCGGAGGGCUAUUUGGGCCAUUUACGGUAUGUAAUGUUUUUCUUUUGGGGCUAUUUGGGAUGUUGCUAAAUGUUAUGUUACCAAGAAUAUUGAUAUAUGAGUAUAUGUUCGAUAUAUAUAUAUAUAUGUUUAAUGUUUUUAUAUGUAUUUGGAUGGUUCAUUAAAGAUCAUAUCUUUAUAAUCAUGUUCAAAUAUGUGUCAAACACAAAUAUUUAAAAAGAUAUAAAAACUCAGAGAUUUUUAGUGAAUGUUCAGAAAGUGUUUGUUAAAAUAUCCAGUCCUUUUGUUAUGCAGUUUGGUGCAGAAGGACAGAUGAGCUGGUAGAUGGACCAAAUGCUUCACACAUUACACCAAGGGCUCUUGACACUUGGGAGAAAAGAUUAGAUAACAUCUUUCAAGGUCGUCCCUAUGACUUGUUUGAUGCUGCUUUAUCUCAUACUGUCUCAAACUACCCUCUUGGUAUUCAGGUUAGAUGCAUAGCCAUGUUUGGCAUUCACAAAUUUAUUGAGGUUUGAUGUAUUGAGAAAUGGAAUUGGUAUGUGUUGCUUACAGUCCAAGGAGGAGUGUUGAAAGCUGGACUGCAAAGCAACAUGUGGCCAGCAGCAUGGUUGGCUAUUGAGCUUGGUGAUAUUACUUGGCGUGCAAGACUGAAGCUGAACCAGAUGAAGCAAUCAACUUUGGAUGUUUUGUUCUUUUGUAAUUUAGUUUAGUUCAACUUUAACUAGUUUCCAAAGUUAGUUGGAUUAAGUUUGUGAUUGGAUUGAUGAUGUAAAAGCUGAUAUGUCAGCUUAUUUUGUAUUUGACUUAAGCUUGUAUUAGUUUAGUUUAAGUGGGAGCAGUUAUGUCAUUAGGUAACUGUCAAAUGAAUCAAAUUUGUAACUCUUUUAUAUAUUCAAAUUUUGAAUGAAAAUAAAAAAUGUUCAGUUACAAUUUGCUGAGUAUUCAUUUUUUGUUCACUGUUUUUGCUUUGCUUUGUUUUUCUUUUGCUUCGAUACUUCUUGCUUCAGUUUUGCAAAUUUUGUUUUGCAACCUUGUUUUCUUUUGCUGCUGCCAUUGUUCCAACAUGAUAGAAGGGAUGAGGUUAGAUUUAUUGAAAACCAGAUAUAACAACUUUGAUGAACUCUAUCUAUACUGCUACUAUGUUGCUGGGACGGUCGGACUAAUGAGUGUUCCGGUAAUGGGAAUCGCAUCCGAAUCAAAGGCAUCCAACGAAACCGUGUAUAGUGCUGCAUUAGCCCUCGGAAUCGCUAAUCAACUUACUAAUAUAAUCCGAGAUGUUGGGGAAGAGUAAGUUCAAUGGCACUGAAUUAUUAGCAUCAUCAUGAUCAUUACUUUUAGUGACAACAAUAAGCUUCAUGCUCAUUUUAAAGAUUUAAUUUGAAUAAUUAAAUUAACAGUUGUAGGAGAGGAAGAAUAUAUCUUCCACAAGAUGAACUUGCCUCGGCAGGGAUAUCGGAAGACGAAAUAUUUCGAGGACUAGUGAGCAAUAAAUGGAAAAUUUUCAUGAAAAAUCAAAUAAAACGAGCAAGAAUGUACUUUGAUGAGGCCGAAAAAGGGGUUGCGGAGCUAGAGGAGGCAAGCAGAUGGCCAGUGUGGGCAUCAUUGUUGUUGUAUAGACAAAUCUUAGAUGUCAUUGAAGAAAAUGACUAUAAUAAUUUCACCAAAAAGGCUUAUGUAGGGAAAGCAAAGAAAUUUGCUUCACUUCCACUGGCUUAUGGAAGAGCAAUUAUGGGCACUUCCAAAUUCUUCUGACUUUCACAUCAACUAUAUUCCAAAAUCGAAUUGGGUCGGAUUCCAAAUCUUUUUUCAUUCACAAAUUCAUCUUUACUUAAGAGAUAUUGAACUUUUUACUACUCCAACCCAUUAAUUAUCGAGAUAUCCACUAAAUUCCACCAAAUCAUUGGUCCGUAUAUUUGUUGUAAAAAAGUUUCUAUAUUAUGUAAAUGUUGUUAUCAAAUUGAGCAAUUAAAAUAAUUUUACUUAAGUUAAAAUAUGUCAUAAGUUUGUGUAUUUUUCGUAAAUUUAUAAUUUAAUCUUUUAUUUUUAUUUUUAUUUAGAUUCUAGUUCUUUGCUUUUUAUAUUUCAAAAUUCGGGUUCAACUGUUAAUAUUAUUAAAAUUAUUUUAUUAAAUUCAAGUUUAUUACAAAGUAAUUUUUGUAGUUACAUUACUACCAAGUGAGUAAUUCUUUUUUUAAUUUCAAAAUGUCAUACAAACAAAUUUAACAAUAAAAAUGUAACAAUAUUAACAAUUGAACCCAAAUUCUGAAAUCUGAAAAGUAGAGAAAUUAAAUUUUUGAAGAAAAAAAGUAUAGGGACUACAUUUCAAAUUUGUGAAGAAUAUAAGAUCUAAUGUUUAUGAAAUACUUAUUUAAUAUUAUAAUUAGUAAUCUAAUACCAACAAGUGUGAGGUAAAAUAGUAGACUGAUGGUGGAGGAGAGUUUCAGGUAUUACUUCCACAUCUUAAGGAGUACUAAGCAUAGGUUGUCUAUUACUCAAUUACUUACUACACCUAACCUAGACUUGUUACCUUCAUCAUCGUCAAUAGUUCCUAUUGUUCCAGAUAGAAGCAUAAAAUACUCAUACCAUGAUCAAUCGCAACAAGGCAAACGUGUUCCAAGCCCAAACCCUAUAUAGCACCAGCAAUAGAUGAGGACCUAAUAUACACACUACUAUGCAAAAUCCCUUGUGGUCAAGUGCAGUUAAGACUUAGAUGUUCUCUUCAAGAAGAAUACUUAGUUCCAAACCAGCAAAUAGGAGAAUUAUAAGCUGCAGAUGGCAUUUUAAAGUCGAAAGAAAUAUUGAUGGCACUAUCUCUCGCUACAAAUUAAACAAGAUUGGUUGCCAAAGGGUACUCACAAUCUGCAGGAUAUAUAACCUCUAUGAAACCUUUAGUCGGUCCUAUGGUGAAGGCAAAUGCAGCAAGAACCAUACAUACCCUUACUGUCAUACAACAUUGGAAGCUACCACAAGUGAAUGUCAAUAAUGGUGACUUGCUCAUGGAAGUGGUUAUGGCACGACCCCUUAGCUUUGAGAAACAACAAAAAGAUUCAUAUGUGCUCAAACAAGCAUUUUGUGCUAGGUUCAAAAAGCUAAGAGGUUUUCUAGUGGUCUAAUUGAAGUUUACCUCAUCUCAAGUUGAUCUUUCCAUUUUCUUCAAAAAUUCUAAAGGGUCAUGCUUGUUCUUGGUUGUGUACGUGGAUGACAUAAUAGUCACUGGUUCGAAACAAGGUAUGGAUAGCAUUGCGAGUUCAAUGUUCAGUUCUCUUUGAAGGAUUUAGGUGACCUAAGCUACUUUUUGGGAUUAGAAGUGACUUCCAUUGGUUAGCUCUCCAGCAUUGUCAUCAUCGUUAUGUGUUCCAAUUGAAAAUGCUACAGGUUAUAGGAGUGCGAUUGGAGCAUUACAGUACAUGUGCUAACUAGGCCUAACGUUGCCUACAACGUAUACAAAGUGAGCCAAUACAUGCAACGGCCUUUUCACAUUCAAUGGUGUUUUUUUUUAAGAGAAUCCUGAAGUAUCUGAUUUGCUCUUCAAGUUGUCAUCUUUCCUGGAUCUCACUGGGUUUUCUAAUGCGCUUAUGUGGUAGCUAUUUUGAGGAUCCAAGGUCUACUUCUGGACAUUACAUUUAUCUUGGUGGAUGCUCCUCAAAGAAACGAGUGGUUUCUCGCUCAACAUCUACACAAGUCAGCUAACCGUUACAUUGUUUGGUUCCAGUCACCGGUGAGUGAAGUUGGGAUGGAUUCAGAUGGUACGCUUGUUAAGUGGCGUGAUUCUAUUGCAAUGGCUACAAAUCCACUUUAAAGGAUAGCACUUUUGGUGGGACAUAAUUUUUAAAUCUAAUAGCAAAACAUUUUACAAGCUAAACAUGAAGAAUCAAUCUCGACUAACAUUAUUUCAAUUCCAAACAUGGACUCAUGCAUUUAUUUUAAUUAGCUAUCCACAAUAUAAUGUUUAUUUAACCAGAAUUUAUCUUUUAUUAAUUCAAUUCACUUCAUGUACACAGAUUUCCCAUCAUACACCAGGUAUUUAGUUUUCAUCGUUCCUUUCAGAUUUGUGACGUUAAAUCAAAACUCUAGUUUUCACCUAUACCCAUUUACGUAUUUAACAAUCACAGAGGGUGAGAUCAAAUGCCAAGGACAUUAGGCCUAAUAGAAGACAAUGAUUUUCUUUGCCAGUCAAUCGGUCGAUCCAUGUCCCAAUUCGUCAUCAGUUUCUGUUUUGCUACACCCUUUUCUUCACUGCCGCUUUGCUAAUGUCUUCCUUAAUCCCCUUAUAAUCUUUCCGAACCAAAAUAAGUUCAUAACUGAUAGGACUGACGGCACAACGAAUAUUAACAAUAGCCCAUAGCUGUGCAUCUGCUUUACCUGCUUUUACGAGAAAAUUGCAGUUCGCUGUUAACUUAUUUAUCAGAAGAAAAAAUGUAUGAUAAUAAUUUAUUCAUGUGAAAAAUCCCUGUCAACAUAUUAAAAACGAGGCAUAAGAUGUUAAAGGUGUCAUAUCAAGUUUUACUACUGUUCUCAAAUGAUAUCAGGUUUGUUCAUUACUUAACACAAGCAAUAACAAAUACCCCUUCGAUUUGAAACUAAGAACUAAUUCAGUUAAUUCAUGCCUAAUUGUUAUUUCCAGAACUACAAUCUCUUUUGUCAAGAAGGAAACGAAUACAUCUACCUUGUGUUACUCAGACUCAAAGGUAAAUGUGAGAUGCAAGUACCUGUCUAACACAGUUAAGCCUCAUUUUUUAAGUUUUUCCAUAUAAUUGGAUAAUCAUAACCACGUAUCCGUGUCUGAAUACAGGUCAGAUACAAGUAACAGAAAUGGAUACCUUAGAGAAAAUGAAAAGUCAAAACAAUAUAGCACCCAGUAUGUGCCAGCUAAAGUAAGAUAGUAUAAAAGAAGUUUAAUACUUAGAACCCAAGAUAAUUUUAAUAAAAUUUUAGAUUAAGAGGCAAAUAAGCUAGUAAAUAAUAAACAUGCACGCCUAGGGAUGACAGCAGGUAAAGUUUUGCAGCAACAGUUUACCUGAUCAUAGUGCAAGUAGAUGUGAUAAAAUAGAUACAUAAACAGGAGUACUCUAGCAACCUGUCAAAAACAUCAAAGUUCAUUAUAAGUAACUGCAAGAUAAAUUAGUGGAGAGGACAUAAAUGAAAGCAUUAACAGAAAAGGAAAAAGUCCAAGAGCAAUAAACUGAUUUCACUCACAAACCAUGCGACAAAUAUUACAACUCCAUUGACCAAGUAAGCUUUGGAUCUCUUCAUUCCAACUGUGUCAAGAUACCUAUAUGAAACCAGUAACAUCUGUAACAUAGAGUAAAGUAACAAGUAUUUUACAAUUGGCAUGCAAGGAAUGAAGUAGUAAAUAUGUAAUCUUUUACCAUCUCAAAUUGAUCCCAGGCGUUGUAGUCUCAGAGAUUAGUACCAUGAAGGUGUAAAGCUGCCCCUCCCCAGUCAACAUAGAAUAUGCUACAGCUGCUAAUGACAGAAGAUGAUGAAGGACCUGAAUAACAAAAAAUUUAGGUUGAUUUACAUCAGGAUCAGCUUGAAUAUCAGGGCUUGACAUAGGCCAAGACUUAGACCCAAUAAUAAAAUACUUACAUACUCCAUUCCACCUAGAGAAGGGUAAAACCAAAUGAUCAUACCAAGGUCAGCCAGAAAGUAACCAACAGAUGCCUGUCAAAAGAAAAUUUUCAAGAAAUGGCAUGUAAGAUAAUUACUUAGAAGCUGGCUCUGAGAUGAUAAGAUAUAAACCGAGAGAAAUAUUAAACACAAAAUGAAAACGUUCAGCAAGAUGAAUUUCUGAAAUAUAUUUUCCUCUUGUACAAACAACAGUGCUACAACUAAAUUUCCAGCCACGUUAAAAACUGAGUUGAUAGGUAGAGUGUGUCACUUGGUAUGUGGUUGGUAAAUAAUAUCAUGACUUUCACAGCUUCUCUGCGUGUAUUUAUUAUUUAUUCAGUCAUUCAUUAGACAGAUCAUCAUUCUGCAAUAUAAAAAGGCUAACAUACUAACAAAAAAAAAAAAAAAAAACCUUCUACUUCCUCAGGUAUCUCAUAUUAGCCCGUCUUUGUUUUAUUUCAGACAAGGGCUUAUAAGAGCUUAUCUAAGAAAUUCAAGGUACAGCUCACGAGCAAUGUGAUUUACUUAUUGAGUUAGCAGACCAUGCCUCAUGGCCAUGAAAGCUUACUGAGAGACACAUGAUGACAUUGUACAUUUAUAGUUUCUGAGACUGAGCUUUUAAUUGCAAAAUUGCAAUCACAGUGAAAAAUUUUUGCCGUAUGCUAGCUACAUGUGACAUCGGAGAUCUUUAUUUUAAUGAGUAGUCUUCACAUCAAAGGUGAAUUGAACCAGGGUCUGACUCCCCUCCAUUAAUUUCCAUUACACAUUAAUCACCAUUCAAAAGUGACUUUCACAACUUUCAAAAGAAAAGUAUAACUUCCACAAAUAAUAAAUGAGUCCUGCAGAAAUGAAUGGUAAUGAUGGAUGUAUUGAAAAAUAAUAGACAAAAGAUAAUGUUUGGGAUCCUAAUCCAUUGAACCAAGACUAGCAAACCCCUAUGAAAACCAAGCCCAGCUUACUAUAAAGUUUCAAUGAAAACUUUUGACCAUGAGUUCAAGAAAUGCUUGUCCUAAGCUAAAAGUUAAGUUUAUUAAAUUUUGUGAAAGGGAGUUAACAUGAAUGCAUAUUUUUCCACCACAAUUAUGUUACUCGUUUUGCACAAAAACAAGAGAUUUGGCUAAGGGUACAUGAAAUACUCUGUUGGGGCUAUGAAACAAAGUGGCUGAGAACCUUAAACCAUAUUAAAUCAGAAGAAUUGCACUUGCAGGCAUGACCAAGGAUAUACAUAUUACAUAGACAGAAAUAUGAUGGUACUCUUCAUUGCUGUCCCUGGAAAAUGAGAGGUCAAUUUCAGCAUGAGAAAAAACAGCAAUUCACAAAUAUUUGUCGUAUCAAUGGUAGAGCCACCCACAUCAUUCAAACUUAUCAAGUAAAACAUUUCCAUUCGCUAGAAAUUUAAAUAUUCAAUAAAGAAAACUUAACAUUUCAUAGCUUCUUCUAACUGAUACAGUAAAUGUGCUCAAAAUAAACCACUCAGGAGAAUUUUAUGUAUCACAGUGCAUGACUAAAAUUAUCACGAUGACGUGUUAUUAAAGUCAGGCAGAUCAACUUUUUACUGAUAGCCAAUAUUAGAAGUCAAGGAUAAAAGACCAGACAUAAAUGAUCAAAUAUUAUCUCAAUUCCAAAAGUUUUCAUUGAAGAUGAAGGAAAAAGCUAUCCUCACCCCCAAACUGAAUGUAGACAAUGCAGAACUGCGGAAAGUAACCAUGCCAGCAUAUUGGUUGUCAGAAUAGAGGUUUGACCAAAACACGAAGUAUAACGACAUGGCAGUUAUGAACAUGGCAUGAAAGGUUGAUAUGGAUCUGCAUAAACCAUCCCGACGUUAAUUCUGUAUAUAUAAAAGCAAAAAGUAAUGACAAAUUCAAGAUAACUAGAAAUAUUAGUCACCGGUUGCUCCACUCAGUGCGUUGAAUUUUUGGUAGGCUAGGAUAGCUCUUAAAGUAAACACUGCUAAACAACUGAGUAAGAUCAUAUACCUGGAAAAGGAUAAUGCAGUCAAAACUUGAGAGGAAGAGAAAGAAGGAAAAGGUAGCACAAAGGAAAUAAAGGGAAAAAAAGACGCUUAAACAGAAGAAAUGAGAAAAAUAACAGAGAAAACUCAGAAGAAACUAAAGCUCAAUGAAACGUAACCAUCAUUAUAGAAAUAAGAUAAAAAGUUCAGAUCAUACAGCUGCAAAUCGUCAUUCUAACUCAACUGAAUUAUUUUCAAUCUGAACAGUAAAUCACAAAAAUGAUUAGGGAACAUACCAUCUUGCAGGCACAAAUGCCGCAAAUGAUUGAUGUGUAUGGGAUGAAGGAAUCUGCUAGUAAAUAUUCCUUUACCAGCAGCUCAGCUGGAUUCUGGUAAGAUUUUAUCCCCAUAAUUUCUGUUUUAGAAAACGCUAACAGAGCAUAUUCGUUAACCAAUCAGUCCAAGAAAAUGAACUUCUGUUGUCUCCUGUACUCUGCUCGUUCUUCAUGAUGAAUAAAACAUAAAACAAUUGAAUGAACGUUAGAAAAAUAUUUUAAAAAGGAAAAAAUUCUACAUUCCAAGUAUAGUUGAUUUUAAUUUGAAUUAUAGUACACUAGAAAUUCAAAUAUAGUGCACGACUAGCAUUCCCCUCUAAACAAGAAAAAAGCACGAACCACACCAUUCACCAUAUAUGAAAGACAAUCAUAACAUCAUAGUGUCUUAAUUUUCACAUUCCAACCAUCUAAAAGGGUGAGAAUAGGUGCAAGAGAGGAUGGCUAUGACGUGAAAAUCAGAAAAUGUACAGAAUAUGCAGUCAAAAGAGAGUUAGCAGUCCCAGACUUGAAUUUGGGAUGGGCAUAUCCUCAAAGUCAUCUUUAGGGCAUAUCCUUCAAAGUUAAGGGGUAUUAAACAUAACAAGACAUGCAAUUCAAAUAACAUAUGCCAUAAAUUCAUUUCAAUAAAGAAUGCUCCUCCAUUCAUGUCAAUGGUGGUUUAAUAUGAAUGAAAUUGACGAUAAUUGCUUAAGGAAAAGAAGUUCUAAUCUAAUUAACAUACAUUGAGAAUCUCUUCCCCCCCCCCCUCCCAUCCCUUCUUCAAAAGGGAAAUAUAUAUAUCAGGAUCUAUUAAGUUUCUUGGCCUAAGCAGCAGGGAUGCAGAUACAGAAUACUUGUACAACAGAUAUGAACAGAGGAACACGAAUUUUUUUAAAGAAAAUUAGGCAUGGAAACAGUAGAGCACAACAAGAAAAAGAUUUAUUAUGGAAUAAUAAACAAUAAAACUGUAAAACUGAUACCUUUGAAUAAAAUAUUAUUAACGUGAAAAUAGUUUUUUUCAAUUUUUUAAAAUAAAAUUUGAAGUUAAAAACUUGACGUUAAAAUUUUCAUUAAAAUGUUAUUCAAGUUUUCUCCUCUCUUUUUUUAAAUAUAUAUUAUGAUCCUGAAGAAGGAAAAAAUGACAUAAAGAGUCAAGCUUCUUGUUCUUUGCAGCCAUUGAAUUUAACAGAAGUAAAUACAAAUGUUUCCGUAGGCAAGAGAACUCUAAACGUGAUCAACUUAUUCUCUUUUGCAUCAAUUUAAAACAACUGAUUCAAUCAUCCGACAAGGUUUUGCCCCAAAAAUUUUUUUAAUUUAAAAUAAAAAAUGUAUCAAACAAAAGUAUCAAUGCAGAAAAACAAGAAGAAAACAACACAGCAUCAAACAACAGAAAUGAACCAAAAAAUUCAAUGAUUAAACAAUCAAAACCAAAUUGAUCAUCGCAAAUCCAGCCGUAUCUAGACUUAUCCAACCAUAUCUUGACCACAUUUCAGCCUAUUUUAUUAUUAUUUUCAUAUUUUUAUGUGUCUGAACAUGUCCAAUAUGCAUUCAGAACACGAAUCCUUGCAUGUUUUAACCACAAUUUUUUAGCCAAGUGAGACAGUAAGCGUCCGAGCUUCAUUGUUCUUGGCGAAUGUUAUUCAAAGUUUAUUUUUAAUAUAUAUCUAUGGUCCUGAAGAAGGAAAAGAUGACAUAAAGAGCCCAAGUUCUUCCUGUUUUUUAUUUCUUUACAGCCAUUGCAUAUAACAGAAGUAAAGUACAAUAAUUUCAGAAGGCAUGGCAACCCUAAUCGUGAUUAACUUAUUAUCUUUUGCAUCAAUUCAAAGCAAAUUCAAUUUCAAUCAUCCAACAAGGAUUUGCAAAAAGAGAUUAAAACUUUAAAAAAAAAUGCAUCCAACAACAACAUCAACGCAGAAAAAACAAGAAAUAACAUAUCAUCAAAGUAACAACUGAAAUAAAAAUAUGGAAACAAAAAAGAACCAAAAAUAAUUCCAUAACAAACCAAUAUGCAAGAUAGAUAAAAAGAAAAAUAUUGAAAAGACAAGAAAGAAGAAAGGAAGGAGGAAAAUAGGAGUACCGGAAUCGGAGACAAAUUAACCAGCGGGAAUUGCGGAAGAAAUCCGGGAUUUAGUUUUUUGGGCAAACAGAAAGCGACGGAAACUGCUGCUGGAUUCUCUGCUUAUUUUUUCUUCUUUUUUCAGAAAAAAUAAUUUGAAGAAAUAUAUAGGCGUAGGAAUGUACUCCAUAAAAAAAUUCUUAAUCAGUGCUUGCCAUCCUGUGUGUCAUAUUUCGCCUUUUCUUUUAAUUGAUUGGAUAGAUAUAAUAUAAUAUAUUAAUAUAAGAUUAUGAUUUUUCUAGAAUAAUUUAUGAAAAACUGAGGUCAAAUAAGGUUAUCUGUAUAUAAUAGAUUAUUCUAUUUCCAGAAUGCUUUUCCAAAAGACAAAGUGCAGCAUCUAUUCCACGUUCUACAAUUAUAUUAUGAUAAUUUAUAAUAGAUGCAAUAAAAAGAAGAUAUGAUAUCUUUGAUAUAUAUACAUAUUAUAUCAUCUUUUUUAAAAUAUAUUUGUACUAUUUUAAAUAUCAUAGGUUGCUUGAUUUUAAGGCUAAGUUUGUUUUAUUGAAAAUAGUUUUCGUAAAAUGAUUUUUUGAAAAAUGGCUUACCUUUCUGGAAAAGUUAAUAUUUUUUGGUAUUUAGAUGAAUCUAUGUAAAAUAUUUUCUAUUGUUUGGCAGAUUUCUUGAAAAUAUUUCAUAAAAGUUGUUUUCAAUUAAACAAACAUAUAUUUUGAGAUUUAUGAUAAGUAGUGAACUGAUUACAAAGUGAUGUUAAGGUGAAAUUAUGGUGGAUGAUGAAUCUUCAUGAUGUUAAGGAUUAAAUUGUAAACUUUGUGAAAUUUAUAAUUGAAACAAUAAAAGCUAUAUCCAUGAAAAUUUGUUAUGUGAAAUAAGAUAUUGUAAUGAAUUAUUUUAUUAAAGUGAUUAUAUGGUGAAAAAUAAAUUAUAAUGAAUUAUUUGACUAAAUUGAAAAAUGUACAAAAGUUUAAGUGUGAAACAACUUAAUAUGUGAAUAAGGAAAUUAUGAUAAAAGUUUAAUGAAUGUGUUAUGAGAUGAUGAAAUAAAGUGAAAUUGUGGAAACGUAUGGAAUUUUUAUGAUGACAAAGACUAAAUAGUUAAACUUGAGAAAAUAUGUAGAUGAAAUAAUAGAAGUGAAAUACAUAUAAAUUUGAUAUGUGAAACAAGAUUUUGAGAUAAAUUAUAUGAUUAAAGUGUAACAAGAAAAGAAAAUGAUUUAAUAUGAUUAAUUAGUGAAUAUUGAACUUUUAUGACAAAAAGAUACUAAAUUGAAAAGUUAUGAAAGUUUAUAAAAAUUAUUUGAUGAGUGAAGAAUGUAAUAGAGAAUGUAACAUCUCAAUGCUUUGACCUAAUGUUCGGGUCAGGUAUGGGGGUGUUAUAGUGAAUAGAGCCUUAUCAGUUUAGAAAUAUCUUAUAAAAAAAUUUGUAAGACAUUUUACGGGAAUAAGGGGGUAAUUUUACGUUGACUAGAAAACUAUUUACAUUGACCAUCCUAUUUUACAUGAAACAAACAUCGAAAAAGGCUGAAAAUAUUUUUCGUAAAAAAAUUCAUGUUGAAACAAACAGAGCCUAAAUCUUAAUUAACAGUAUUUUUUCUGCUUUGUAGCACGGUUUUUUUCUGUUUUGUAGCACAUUUUUCCUUUUCUCUUUGUUCUAGUUUCAUUGUUCAUUGUUUCUGUAAAAAGAGACCAAAUCUAGUGGUUUCUUUUGAUAAUUGUUUUGUGGGCUCUUUACUGACAUCAAAUAUGGUUAGUUUUCGGUCAAUAUGAGUGACUUUGGUAAACAUUUGGCAUCCGAUUUGGGGUAUUUCAAUUUUUGAUCUGAAUGAAUGAAGGUAUCUUAUUCGAUUAUAUCAUAAGGUGGAUGUGGACAGAAUUGAGGCUAGGGCACCAUGGAAUUUCAAUUCUCAUCUUCUCGUUAUGCACCGGUUAAAAGAUAAGGACGAUCCAAUGGCCAUGCCACUGUUUACUGUAAAGUUUUGGGUUCUAAUCCAUGAUCUACCGCAUGGGUUCAUGUCUGAGAUGGUGGCAAAAUAGCUAGUAAUUUUAUUGGUGUGUUCCUUAAGUAUGAUGUGAAAGUUGUUUCAUUGGGGUAUAAAGGAAUAAUACAGGUUAGAGCCCGAUUUGAUAUUCAAAAAUAGAUAAAGCGUGAGAAAAAAAUUUGUGUUGUCGAAUGGGAGGCAGGCUUUUGCAAGAUUUGAGUAUGAAAAGGUCACAUUUUUUUUUGCUUUCUCUAUGGUAAACAUGGUCAUGGGGAAAGUUUUUGUCCUGUUAGGAUUCUCUAGGAGAAGCAAGAUUUUGAUUUGGGUUUGGACAUCUCUCUUCGAGCUCCAGCCAAGCAAAUGAUGGCGCCGAAGAGUCUUUGGCUGAAGGAGGAAGACAUUUUUGGUGUCCCAAAUUCUAGGAUUGCCAAUGCCGAAAUUUUAGGGAUAAAUGAGAGGCCUCUGAAAUUUCAUUUUUAUAGUUUAGGUGAUAAUCUUCAAAGAGAUAUGGUUGAGAAUAUCACCAUUAAUGUGACUUCAACAGGUGUGAAGUCCUCAAGACCACGAAACAAGGUUACUAUUGGGUCGAAUGUUGACUCAAUUCUAGCCUAUAAAUCAAAGGCCACAGUACAUAGAUUUUGAUGAAGAAAUAGGUGUUGAAGGGGAAGAAAGUCCGAUUGUGCAAAUGGAUGGGCUUAAGCAACCACGUACCCAGUUAGCUAAAUCAGGAGUUUAUAGUAAUAUGGUUUUGAAUAUGGAAAAAUUUCUCUAUCGACAGGCCUUGCUCAGCAAGCCAAUCGGUCGCAAUGAAACUCUUAAGUUGGAACGUCCGGGGUUUGGGGAACCCUCGACAGUUUAUCGUUUUUAGCAUGUGUUGAAAGAUCUGAACCCCUUUGUAAUUUUUUUGUUGAAACGAAAUUACAGAGUACUCAAAUAGUGAAUGUAUGUCUAAUAUGUGGAUUUCAGAAUGGAGUUGAUGUUGAUUUAGAUGGCAUAAGUGGUGGUCUCUCUUUUUGUUGGAAGCAUAAAUGUAUUAUUUCUUUUCAUUCUUUUUCAGGAAGACAUAUUGAUGUUUUAAUUACUGAUGAUUCUAAAGGAAACUGCUGGAGAUGUACAGGGUUUUAUGACACACUUGAAGAACAAAGAAGAGUGGAGUCUUGGAAUCUAUUAAGAUAAUUGGAUGAUUGCUCGAAGGUACCAGGGCUUGUAAUUGGGGAAUUUAAUGAGACUGCUUUUUCUUUUGAGAAUCAAGGAGGGCUUUUACGAAGUGAAUGUCAAAUAAAUGAUUUUCAAUGUGCCUUAAAGGAUUGCUCUUUGGAGGAUUUGGGUUACAAUGGUUUCUGGUUCACUUUAGAGAGAGGGAGAAUAGUGAGUAAUAAUAUUCAGGAGAGGCUUGAUAAGAGUGUCAUGAAUGGAUUGUGGUGGCCGUUGUUUCCGCAUUAUAAAGCAUCCCAUCUGCCGCAUCCUUUUUCUGAUUAUUGCCCUGUUUGGUUAAGACUACUUCCGAUCUCAUUAGGUCACCUAAACAGCAGCAUUUCAAGUUUGAGGUCGCAUGGUUAUUGGAAGAAUCUUGAGAACCUGAAGUGAAGAGGCUUUGGGAAAGCUCGUUGGGUCCUAUCUCGGAUAAGCUUCAAGUCGUUAGUAAGGGGCUGAAUGUGUGGUUUAUGAAGAUAAAGUGUGAAAAAAAAUUGACUGAGCUAGAUAUCAGGGAUAGAUUUUGAAGUAGGAUUCUUUCUUGAAGUGGUUGAAAUCUCUCCAUGGGGGGUAAAGAAGUUUUCACAAAGUCCAUUUUGCAGGCUUUACCGACGUAUGCAAUUAUGUGUUUUUUAUUACCUAAAUAUUUUUUCAAAGAACUAGAACCUCUAAUGGCUUGAUUUUGAUGGCAAAAGUCUACUGAGAAAAGGGGAAUUCAUUGGUGUACUUGGUCUUCUCUAUGUGACCUAAAAAGAAACUGUGGUCUUGGCUUUCGAGACUUAUCAAAGUUUAAUAUUGCUUUACUUGCUAAACAAGGUUGGCACCUUCUAACAAACCUGACUACUUCCGUGGGAAGGAUACUAAAAGCAAAGUACUAUCCAUCUACAGGUUUCCUUAAUGUGUCUCUGGGUUCUAACCCUUCUUUGCUUUGGUAGAGCAUAUGGUGUGCGCAUGGACUUUUGGAACUAGGCCUUAGAUGGAGGGUUGGCAUGGGUAAUUCAAUCUCAGAUUGGAAUGAUUAUUGGUUGCUCGAUCCUAUUCCCCAAAAGAUUUAGUCCCCACAAGUGGAUCAUUUUACGUAGGUGUUGGACCUUAUGGUGUGAGAUCCUAUGGCAUGGAACUUGGAUCUAAGUAAUUUUGUAUUUUCCCAUGGCGAAGCUAUUAUUAUUAAAAGUAUUCCCCUUUCGAAUUUUCCAUAAGAGGACUAUGUAGUAUGGGUGGUGAACACUCAGCCUUGUAUAGUGUUUGUAGUGGAUAUCGAUUAUUACUAAGCCCUUCUAAUUUACACUCUGAUGGAUAAAAUAUUAUAUCAACAGAUAUGGAUGCUCUCUUACCCUCCAAAAAUUUGAAUCGCUUUGUGGAAAUUUUUAAAACAUUUUGUACCUACAAAAUUGCGAAUGACCUUCUGUGCCCUAGAUGUUAUCAUGCUGUUGAGGAUAUGAAUCACAUUCUACGAUACUGUGAUUUUGCAAGGGAUGUGUGGCUAGCUUUACACUAUGUUAGCCUAGGUAAUAACGAACAUAUCAACUUUCAUGAAUGGUUAUCAUGGAUGUUUGAAAAUUAUUCUACGAAUAAAAGAGUGAAGAUAGUAGUGGUGUUGUGAGCUAUCUAGUAUGCUAGGAAUAAGCUUAUACAUGAUGGUACAAACUAGAGGAUGGAGGAUUUGGUUGCCUUUGUUCGAGGCUACUGUGCAAAUGUUGAAGUGCUUGUUGCAAGUAUAUAUCAAUCGUCUCCACCUCAGGUUGUUUCCUAGUCCCUUCUUCCGAUAUCAUCUGUUAAGAUUAAUGUCGAUGCCAAUUUUUCCCUAAUACAACGAAAAGUAUGUUCAGGAGAAUUUAUUACAUAUGAACAUGGACAGAUUAUGGGGGCAUGUAGUCAUCUUACCUUACAGUUGCCUAUAGUAUUUACGACAAAAGCUCUCGCGACAGUACAUAGGUUAAGGUUUGCACUUGAUUUGGGCUUCUAGUCAGUCAUCCUAGAGAGUGAUUCCAGGUCGGUCAUCCAAAAGUUAAACAUAAGCUCAGAAGAGUUCUCUGAAAUUAGUACACUUAUUUGGGAAGUAAAGGAGCUUUCAAAACGGUUUUUAGACUGUCGAUUCACCUUCAUAGCUAGAUCAACCAGGUUGCACAUACAAUGGCUCCAGAGGGCAUGUCGAGAACAAAAUAUUGUUUUUAGGUAGAGGAAGUAUCAUUGUUGGCCACCUUUGCCGCGAAGACAGAAGAUCGUUCAAUCUGCCUUAGUCUAGGUUUCAGCAUGCUUUGAGUUAGGGAAUUUCUUGAUAUCUUUAUUUCCCUAAAAUUUCCAAGCAAGUGAUUUUUCAUCGUCCACUUGUUGUUUCGUUUGAAGGCUCAACGCCGGUUAGGGUCUCUUUCGAGAGAGAGGCCUCUUUUAGGUUUGGUUUUCUUUCUAAGUUUUCUUUAUGGUUUUCAUUUUCCAUGUGGUUUGUGUCAUUUUGUUAUUUCUCAUUUAAUAAAGUAACCAGCAUUAUUCUCAAAAAUAUAUAUAAUAAGGUCAUAAAUAUAAUAUUCCUUGAUAAACUAUAAUCUAAAAUUAAAUUAAUACAAAAUACUAGAAAUUUUAUGAAGAAUAUUUAAAGAAAUUUAUUAAUAUUUAUAUAAGCUAGUAUUUAUUACACUUGUAACACCCUAUACCUGGUCCGAUCACCUGACCCGAGCUAUAAGGUAUUACAACUGUUAAACAUUUCUAUCAUACAAAGAUUCGACAUAAAUUAUCAAAAAAUCUAUUAAACAACAUUAACACAAGUGUAAUGUGAUUUACAAUCAAAAUCAGGCAUUAAUUAAGCAUACAAAACCUUUAAACCAACUCAGUAACAACUCAGGACUAAACUAAAAAUUUUACAAAAAUUUAAGUAAAAAGUGUAAACAUCGGUCACAUGAACAUGUGACCAAACUAUGUGGCGAGGCUGAGACCGUGUUGCCUAACCGUAUAACAAAAUUGAUGCCAUGUAAUCAUGGGUCACACGGCCAUUUCGCCCGUGUAACAAACUGAUACCUGGUCGUGCCAUGCAACCGUGUAUGGCACACGAUCGUGUGGCAGACCGUGUACACCUGAACAUGCUUUCAAAACGAAGCCAUCACACCUAUAACCACUUAGGCCACAAGUCAUGCAAUUACCACCCAUUAAACCUAUAUAAAAUGCAUCAAAACUUAACAAAACAUACCAAAUAACAUUCAACUUAAGUGCCUAACCAAUAUGCCAUUAUUAGCACCACAAUUCAAACAUUAAACUUUAAGCAUUCAAGCAUAGCAACCUAACAUUAUAUACCUAUUCAACCAUGAAACUAACUUCAUUUUCUCAUGUUGACGUUCAUAAAACAAAGCUUAUCAAUUUACCAAAUACAUAAACAUCAUUUAAGCUUAACAUCAACAACAACCAAAAUAACAGUUAAGCCUUACAUCCAACUACUCAAUUCACACAUAAGGUGACAUAAACCUCAACCAAAGUUCUCAUAUAAAAAAGUUACCAAACCCUAUUUACAUGGUACUUAUAACCGAGUCAAAAUAAGUAAAUAUCUACCGAAUGAAUUGACGGAUAGUGUGAUCUCCAGAAAUAGUCCAGUCUAUAGCUUGAAUCUGACAAUCUAUAAGAAAGAAAACAAAACGAGGUAAGGUUACUUCAUGCCAUGAGUUUAACAUAUAACAACAAUCAUUGCCUUAUUUCACAUUACCUACCAUACCAAAAGAUUAGUAAUCUUCAUAACAUUGGUAAGAUCACAAGAUAUAAGUUCCAUAUACCAUUUCACUUCUAUUUAAGAAAACAACCAUUCAUGCCAUGAGUUUCUUUCCUAAAUAUUCCUAAAUUUUAAAAGCCUGUAGAACUUUAGUAACUAACUUUGGAUACACAAAGAAAUGAAUGUUCAUACAAGCUGACAAGAAUCUGCAACAAAUGCUAGAUUUCAACCAUCGGUAUGGUAUCCACCACCAGUACAUAGUACCUGGAAAUAUAUAUAUCACCGGCACAGAGUGCCUGAAACUAUAACACCGGUACAUAGCACCUAGAAACUGUAAUCACUGGUACUUAGUGCCUGGAACACCCUAAUGACAUGCUAUUUGUAUCCUAGCUACUCAUUGAGUUUACACAGGCCUUAACUUGUAUACCUUAAUCUUUUCAUAAUUGUAACCUCAUACCAUGAUCAACUUCAUCACAAACAUUCCAUAUAAUAACAUGAUUCAAUUCAAACAAGUACAAUUGUCAUGCUUUACAUUUCAAGCCUUUAUUUCCACCUUCAAACUUACCUCAAUUAACCAUGUCCAUUGUACAAACAUACAUAUACACAUAUAUGAUUAGAAUUCAAAAUAUCAAUAAACAUAACAAAUCUAGUAUGAACUUACUUAAAUGCAAUAGCUAUCAACACAUCGACGAUGAUUACAGUAUGUAGCAUCAUUCACAAUAGUGGAAUUUAUAGCCGAAGACAUGGAUAAAUGAUAUCCUCUCAUUGGCAUUACAUGAUAGAUGAAAAGUAAACGUGGCCACAGGUCGUUCGUCUUUGGGAUAAAUGACUUAAUUACUAUUUGAUAGUGAUUGACUUUUCAUGAAGGAAGAUAUAAUGGUUCCCAUGUGAUAAAAUAGGAUCAUAUUGUGAGAACAGAUUUAUCCCAAUGAGAUUAAGGAUAUCCUUUGGGGAUAACACACUUAUGAUAAGGACAUUGGACGAGUACUAAUCGAGUUGCUUUCGUAAUGGUAUGUCAUUAGGGAGAACUCAGUCAUGAUACUAUAGUGAAAUGACUUUGUGACUAAAUAAGUUUAUAAUUAAUAAGCGAAAAGUUAGAACUUAAUUAUAAAUCAUUUGAGCGCUAAUCACAUAUGUCUAACCGUUCCCUCUGCUACCUCGUUGAAACCAGCAAUGAACUGUAUGUUGAAUCAAAUGAACAUAAAUGGAUAUAGAUGGUAAAGUUAGAGAAAUGUGAAACAUUUGAAAAUGAAUGUGAUUUUCCUACUAUGGAAAUAGUUUGAGAAUUAAUUUAUGGUUUUUUAAUUAUUAUUUAAUUAUUUAAUUAAAUAAUUAAAGUUUGAAAAUGAAAUUAAAUUAAUUGGUCAUUAUGAAUCCAUUAAAUGCAUAAAUAUUAAAUAUAUUUUUCAUAAAUUUUUUUACGGUAAAUUUUUCAUGAUUUUAACGGAAUCAAAAUUAGGUUGAGAAAAUUAUUUAAUUAGAAAAUUAUUUUAUGAUUUUUAUUUUGGAAAGUAGAAAAAUAUGUGUUGGGUUAGAUUGAAUUAUAUAAUGUUGGGUUAAAAGUUUAAAAAGCACUUAUAAUUGGACCCGAUACGGGAGAGGCUCAAAAGCCCUUCAUGUUAAUACAUGGGACGACAAACCCUACUAUAUUUAACUAGCGUUGUCGCCCUCUCUCUCCUAGUUCAACUAUGAAGUUAUUUUUCUAUUAAAUAAACUUUUAUUUAUUCAACAAAAGUUUCACUUCUUCUCCUUAUAAAUAGAUAGUACCAGUAGGGCUAAAAACACAAGAAGUUUUACACAACUUUGAGAUAUUGUAAUUCUGCCUGAAAAGAGUGAGAAUUUAUUUCUAAGUAUAAAUUCUAUUUUCCGGAAUAACAAUUUUACCGGUUUUUAUUAGAGAGAGAUUUUUGUUUUCCCACUAAAAGUAAAGUAAAUCAUUUCUAGUUCUAUAUUUGAUUUGAAUUCGCUCGAGCCCACCCGCGAAGUAGUUCGUAGUAUGAGAAUAGCAGCGAAGAUCGUCCGGUUGAAAGUCGGGAACGAUAAGGAUCCGUCUAGCCGAAAACACAGGAGUAAUUUCAAGUAAAGUUUAUUACUAUAAAUAUCACAACCGACUCGGUUUUCAAAACUUUAAUUUUCCGUUGUGCAAGAAAGCUAUUUUCGAGCCAAAAAUUUUCCAACUGAAUACUGAUCCACCGUACCAGUUGUCAAAUCAUCACUUGGAGCUUGCUGGUGGAACUUUUUUUAAAUAAAAAAAAAACUUAAUAGCCCAAUAUCUUAAAAACUUUUGAAUGGUUUAGUGACUAGAAUGAAAGUUUUUGAAUAGUUUAGUGACCAAAUUAUAACUUUUUUAGUUAAGUGACCAAAACAAAAACCUACCCAUAGUUUAGUGACUAAUGGUGUAGUUUACAAAAACUUCAACGCAUGUAUAACAAAUAAUUACAUUUUCUUUUUAUUGGUAACGAUAAUUAUAUUUUUUUAGGGCAACUCUAUACACAGGAUUGGGGUAAUGACCAGUGUCUUAUAAAAUAUAAUAAAAUAUUAAAAAUAAAUACGUAUAAAAUAAAUGACACACUUGAUAAAUUUUUAAAUAUAUUUGUGGAAUUAAAAAAAAUACCAAAUACUGUUGGAAUAUGUUUUAAUUAAAAUAAUAAUAAAAGGACAAAACGUAAUAAAUGUUUUUCUUAAGAAACACAUUUAAAGUCCUUUUUUUUUGGUGAGUCUUUAAAGGUUCAUUUAGUAUAUGUAGUCAAUGAAGCUUUGAAAAAAUUUAGUAUACGUUUUCUCCAUUUUCUGCUCGUAAUAAAUUUCAUUUAAUUUCUUUCACUCUAUUAUCUUGUUUCACUCAGUUCUACUUUUUUUUUUUUUUUGGGGGGUCUGCCCUUUAUAUUUCUCUCCUCCCAUAAGAUUUUGGCCAAGUUUGUUCUAUUAAUUGCAAAAAUUAAUUUUAUUUCAAAUUUUUUUUAGAACCAUUCUAACAUUCUUCUCAAUUUUUAUUUAUGAAUUGAGGUUUGGAUGGACGAUUGGGUGUGGUGCGAUGCAUUUAGCUUACUUUUUGUCUCACGCUAUAAUAUCGUUACAGUAUUUAAUCUCACCGCCACCGCUGUUUUUACACUAACAGCAAGUAAACGCACCGCCCAUCUAAACUACCCUAAAUAGUGUUGUAUGUGACUGAAAAUAACUAAAUAUAAUUUCUUUUACUCGAUAUCAAUUGAAGACUUAUGUAUAAUUUUUUUACCACUUCAUCUACAGUUUAAUUAACUUGAAACAUAAUUUAAAUAAAAAUAAUUAUUAUUUCCUGAGAAACCUUAUUCGUAAAUAGACUUAAUCAUAGGUCGGGUCAGACCAAUGCAGAAUUUUAGGUUCCCUUUCUAAUUGCUCAAGCCUGACCCAUAUUAAAAAUGCUUAACUCGAGUCUGACCGUAAUAAAAAAUUUUAGAUUUUUUUAUACAAAAAUAAAUUUAAAAAAUAUAAUACAUCAAUAUAAUAAAAAUAUUAAAAUAAAUUAUUAAACUAAGUUUUAUUUGAUAAAUUAUUUUAAUAUAACAAAUUAGAAAAUGUUUUUGAAUAAAAAUAGUUUUUGUAUUGAUACUUGUAAUUAAGUAUCGAAACCUAUCAAAAAAUUAUCGAUACUUUUAAUCAAGCAUCAUAAAUCUCUCCAGAUAUUGAUGUGAAAAAGGGUCAACGAUCACUAAAUUAAACAUUAAAUGCUUUAAGUAUUGAUACUCAUCAAAAGGUAUCGAUACAUGUUGUUGUAGGUGACAUUAAUGUCAAAUAAGUUAUUACGCCUUAUUUAUUUAGUUGGGUGAGGCAUUGGGGGAAAGAAGAGAAGGGAUUGGUUUUGGUCCUUUUACUAUAUUUAGAUAUGAAAUUUAGUCUCUAUAAUUUAAUUUGACGUAAUCUUCUCAUCUACUUUUAUAAUAUCAAAUUGUGAUUUUGGUCCUUUUAUUAUACUCGAAUUUGAGAUUUAGUCGUUACAAUUUAAUAUGAAAUAAUUUUGUAUCUACUUUUAUAAUACAAUUAGUUAGUCUAACUAAUUGACAUGGUAAUAAUUUUAGUUGAAAAGUUGAAGUGAAUUUUUCUUUAAAUAUGCUUAUUCUAUAUAUAUAUAUAUAUAUAUAUAUAUAUUAGUAUCAUUAAUUAGAUUAAUAGACUUGAUAAAUUCAAUUAAAAUGUUGAGGUGGACUUUUUACUUUUAACAUAUUCAUUCUAAAAAAGAAAAAUAUGUUUUGGUAUGAUUAGUUAGAAGGUGAUUAAGUCGUGAAUUAGUUAGAAGGAAUGAAUUUAAGAAAAAAAACACUCAUAGUUAAAAUUGUUAACUUUUUGGAAUAAUUAAUGACAUUAUAAAAGUAAAUUGACCAAAUUAUGUCAAAAAUAAAGUAUAAGGUUUGAAUCUUAAAUUUGGGUAUAAUAAAGGGACUAGCACCAAGUAAUUAUAAUUUAUUAAAACUUAUAUUAAAUUAAUUAAAUAAAAAUUAUCAAAAAUAAAACCUCCUGUGUAGCAAGGUUACAAUUCUAAUUUCGAUUAAAAAUCUCUGUCUAUUUUAAGUUAUAUAAAAGUACGGAGACUAAAUUCUUAAUUUAUGAAGACAAAUUUAUAUUCGAACAAUAAAGAAUGCGAUGCAAUGUAUCAAAAUCUUGUUUAUAAAGAUCUAUAUUGCCAUCAAUGAAUUUUUCUGGAGAGAACUCUUCAACAUUAUUGGACCAAGCAUUAGGAUCUCUCCUGAUUGCCCAAAUGUCCACUAAAACCUUUAAAUUUAUCGGUAUGUAAUAGCAAUUAAUAACUAUGUCCUCAAUUGACUCGCGAGAAAAAAUAUGAUGAUUAGGAGAUCACAACAAAUUUCUCGACUUGAAGAUUAUUAAAGUAGUUCAAUUAGCAUGAUGCUAAAAAAAAACCUAACUUCGGUAACCUAAAACCUGAAUUAUCUCAACACUAGAUAGGGAAGAAAAGAAAAGAAAAUUGAUUAAACAAAAUUUUAUUGCUCAAAUAAAAAACCCAACUCUUUUAAUAUUUUUCUCUUCACCAGAUAGUUGCCGCAGACGUCGGAUUCCAGAGGAAUACCAUUUUUCCAUCCGGGCGAGAUGCUUGUCGCACAACCCUUUGAUGAUGGUAAACUCAACUAAGGAAUCAAUUUUACCCACCGUAAAUACGAAAAGAUGCCGUGCAUAUUAAAGCCUCCAUUCAAAGUGCAGUAAAAAAAAUUUUAAAAAAUUCGAGAAUUAAAAAUAUAUAUAUAUUUAAACCAUGCUUGUGGAAUUAAAAUACUCCACUUGCAAUGUAGCAAAUACAAAAAAUAAAAAAAUAACAUUAACUGUUAAUGAUGAAACUCAAACUUAAUCCAAAAGUUUCAUAUUAUAUCUGUUAAAAGAAUCUAACAAAUCUAAAUUUUGAAUAUUAACAUCUGCAAUUUUUCCUCAUCUCUCAAACUACAACCUCUUUAAAAAUAGUAACAACAACAACAACAACAAUAAUAAUAAAGAUCUUUUCCAUUAAUUUAGCAGAGGAAAAUAUUAAUUAUGCAAAAAAAAGGUCACAUAAAACAGCUAAGUGGCUGCCAUAGGUUAGUAGUAUAAUAUUCCCUAGUUCAUGUAAGUAUCGACUCUUAUAUGUCAGCCUGUAGCAUAGAUAAUGAUUCUCAACCCUCUAGGUUACUUCAAUGGAAAUGCAAAACCUUCAAAACUAUGAGCAUAAUCCACCAUCCACUUCCUCUUCUAGUUGAUAAAAUAUGUUUUAUACUACCUUCACGGUCAAGAUAUAGACCUCUUCCCGCGUUGUCGCUUGCAAGAAUCGUCUCCAGAACCCUGUGAUUUAGACGCACCUGAACCGGAAGCAACUGACGUAGGGUCCUGCAACGCAGCUUGAUCUAAGCUCAUUCCAGCUGACAUUACAGGUGCCUGUUGGUUGUAACUCAUGGACUCAACUCCAUUUGUUACAGCCCCUACUGCAGGGCCCUUAACACCUUUCUGGAAACUUGAACAGCUGAAUGGGCUUCGGUUCAAAAGUGACAAAAGGAACCUACUUGGAUUGGGACUUGUAUCUUUCAUCACUGGCAUAGAUUUGUUGAUAUCAGUAGAACGCACCCUCGAAGUCAGUGAAUCUACAGAUUCUGCUGGCGUUGGGAUGCCUGAUAACCCAUCAUAAGAUAGAAUCCAAGCUAUUGCAUAUACAGACGCCCCGAGAACAGGAGGAAGAACUUCGUGUGGAUGCAUUACCUGGAAAAGUCGAGAAGAAUAUAACAAGAAAAUGAGCACGUUUUAUGGCUGAACAAGUUAAAAUGAUACUAUUGAUCAAAGAAAACAGGGACGGGGAAGGUGGGCAAUGUGUAUUUUAGCUCUUAUGUAUGUACGCAGUCAAUGGAAAUGCCUACCUUGAAUAAGAUUGCUGCCAAUAAUCGUUCUCUCAAGCAGUAAAUUUGAGCAACAUCAAGGGCUGUUGAUCUGAAUGAUAGCCAGCGAUCAACAACCACCAUAACAGAAUUAUCGGGAGAGGACAUGACCUUAUCUUCUUUUCCACCUGACUUACUAACAGCCAACUUUUCAUCUCCAUCAGUGUUGCAUGCAUCACCAUCACCAUCAUCACUUCCAUCAUCAUCAUCAUCAUCACCAUCACCAUCAGCCCCAUCAUCAUCUUCAUCUUCAUCAUAAACAAUGCCUUUUAUAGGAGCCACUGCAAUCUCUGUUGCAAGAAAUAACAAUGGAAAUGGCCCAACAACAGUACAGUUCCUUAUGAACAUACCCCCAUCCCCACGUGUUAUUUCAUCAUACAUAAUCAAGGGGCAAUCUUCGGGUUUCUUGGGUACUAACUUUGAAUUAACAGAGCGAGUGUGUAACCGAACUUUACUGCCAUUGGCAGCCUCUAUAAUUAAUCGUUUACCCUGUUUUACAGGGAGUAUCCUCCCCACCAUUGGAUACAAACCAGCCACAAGGACUGCAUGGAGUAUUCCAGGGUGAUUUGCAUUUAGACUACAACUUGAGACAUCAUCUGGAAUAAACCCAUGCCGUAUUAGUUCACCCUGGAGCUGCUUACGCAUGCCAAACAGCAAGUUCAUGGUGCUUGAUGAGACAAAGUAUUGUGAACAAAAACGUCGCUCUAGACCCUUUCUUUUAGCAUUCUUCCAGCACUCAAACGCAGCUAUGAGUGCCAGCUGAUCACUUUGCCCACCAUACAGAGACGCAAGCUCAUGCCUGGCAGCGGCAGCCUUCUGCUUUUCAUUUGGUCGCAUGGGAAGGACAAAUGGAUCCUUGAAGUCUGAUGCACAUGCUAGUGUCAAUGCCGGAUCAAGGCAAUUCAUCAAUAUGGCAAAGAAAAGCAUCCUGCAUGUCAAUGGAUGAACAGGAAGAUAACCAAGCUUCUCUCCAAGUUCUGUCAGUUCCUCAUCUUGCGUGAAAGCCCCAAUAUCUUGAAGGACUCUAAGUGCAUUAUGUACAGUUUCAGAAACAGGAGGGUCCAAUGUCUUUCGCAAGAAAUCCUCUACUUUGCAAGCUGGGUCAAGCAAUUUCACCUGCCAGUGCAAAUAGAAUCAUGCACAAACUGUUACAUUUCAAUUCUUUUUCAAAGAAAGUAACACCUCUUCCCCCAUCCCUGCAAAGCCCUUUUUGUAAAAUAAGCAAAACCACACUUGGGAGAGAAAAAAGAGGCACAGCCUACUACAUUGACGGUAUCACAAUAUUAGUAAAUAAAUGUAAAAGAAAGGAGAUGAACAUGGUUUAUGACAGGAAAACUUCUGUAGCAGAUAUCCCCCCAUCUUCAGUGAGAGAGACAGAGAGACCUAACAAGCACAAAGCAGAACAUACAUUACCUGUAAACAGAGCUCUUCAAUUGGCAUUCUCUUAAUUUCUGGAACUUGAAAGUCAAGCAUAGAAGCUGCUCGAAGUUUUGAAUAAAGAUGAUAACAAAUUCCAGGUUGACAUCGACCAGCUCGCCCCUCUCUCUGCUUAGCAUUUGCUUUGGAGACCCAUGAAGACUGAAGGGUUGAUACAUUAUUAUAUGGAUCAUAGUUUUUCUCUUUCAUUCUACCACUAUCUAUAACAUAGACAACAUCAUCGAUUGUAACGGAACUUUCGGCAACAUUGGUUGAAAGAACGAUUUUGCGGCAGCCCAAAGGUGGACGAUUAAAGACCUUCUUUUGAUCAGCAGAUGGAACCAUUGAAUGCAAAGGUAUUAUAAUAAAUCUGGAAGAAUCUUUAAAAAAGGGGUUGGCGAGCAAUUUCUCUUUCAUUCUAUUUAUAUCCUCCCACCCAGGAAGGAAAACAAGGAUGGCUCCUUCAUUUGAACCAAUACAUAUCUUUCUUAGUAAUUGUUCAAUAAGAACAACAUCAAUGAUUUCUGGAUUACCUGAUGCUAUAUACUUUUCGAGUAAGUGCUGUCCCCCAAUAUUUUUUUGGGAACUUUCAAUAUGAUUUUUAAUUAUUUCAGCAGCUUCCUGCUGGUUUUCCUGCUCAGCCCAAUCCAAAGCACUCUUCCCGUCCUUGGAGAUUAGACUGCAGUCUACACCAAACGAGAGGAGCAUGCAAACUUCCUCCACUCUACCCUUUCCAGCAAACACCAUUAGUGGCGUUAGUCCAGUCAAAGAAUGCUGGUAAUUAUGAACCUUUGACCCUCCUUCAACAGAAAUCAAAUCUAAAAGUGGAUCAAAGUCAUCACUUGACCAAGCCAAAUUAAUAGCUUCAUCUAAUGCGAUCUUAUCUUCUUCAGUUAAUUCUGGGUCUUCAUCCUGGUCACUUGCAUUAGCUGCAAUAAGAUGAUUAUCGUCUGUGGAUUUCAGGAUAGAAAGCACAUCCUCCAAAUAGAAACUUCUUACCUGAAUUAAGAAUAUCAAGAAAAUUAUGAUGUGAUCCAAACAAAAAUAUAAAUGACAAAAAAUCAGUGAUAGAAUUUUACAGGAUAUGUAAACCCAGGAACACGGAUAAUUGGGCAACCACCAAAAUAUUGUGAAAACCGUUCAGAAUCAAGAGUAGCACUCAUCAGUACCUAUUAUAUCAUACAACAAAAGAGGAAAUACUAACUAAUUUUCCAUCAAGAUUUUAAAAUAAAAUUGGAGCAAUAUUAUGAACGCAUGAGGUGAAGAACUAACCACCCGUAGAUGAGGGUACGAAGGAAGUAUAUCCCUGCAAAUUGACAAAGAGAAAAUUAAAAUGUCAAACAUUCUAUUCAACUAUUAUCUUCCAUAGCUCCAUCUUCAAAGACAACAUGCCCCUAGGGAAGAAAAUAAUUAACACGAGGGUAUAAAUUGAAUUUGACUCGACCAAUAACUUUAGCUGCUGGAGCUCGAUAUUGGCUCAAUAAUGACCGAACCAAAUUUGGAGUUUUUUUCAAACCUAACUCGAGUAGGUUGCGAGUAUAAUUGUCUCACUUUCUCUUUACCAUAUUAGAUAUUCUCAAGAAUUUAUGGAGUCUAUACGACCAUCCCUUGGGAUAUAUUGCCAAGGGGAUAACCUACGAUUUUCAGGGUUGUUCUGACUCAAAACAGGCAGCUAUGUGACUAGUGGUGAGGCCCAGAGAGUAUGGAUAUGACUGCCACACCAUAUACAAUAUACCAAAUUGCUUAAAGAAACAUUGCAAAAAUGGUAAACCCUAAACCAUUUUAAGCCUUAAAUUUAGACUCAUAUGAUAUAAAACUUGAUGUUAGUAAAAGCAAGCAAACAAGGUUGGCCAAAAAUGCAAACAAAGAAGGUGAAAUUUUGAAUCACAGUACAUGUACCUGAUAAUUGCCAACAUGAAAUCACAGAAGCAGUCCCUUUCAUGAAUUUCAUCCUACAAAUUUCAGAAAUUAUCAACUACAACUGUAGGCCAUAAUAAACAUAAACAAAUGUGCAUGCACAAAUGAGAAAAAUAAUAUAUAUGUAUAUACAGCUUUGAGAAGAAAAUAAAUAUGGAUUUAGAUUUAUCUGAAAAACAAGAGUUCCCCAAGAAAAUUACAAGCACAAGAACCCCAUCACCCAUCUAAACCAAAUAAAAAUAUUCCAAGGUUUUCGGACUGAACCAGUCCAAGGAACUAAUUGCCAAAUAAAUCUUUCUUGCCUGAAAGGGCCAGUAUAUGCCCAGCAUCCACCUUAUUAUUAAAUUCUCCUGGUAUUGCUGGCUUAGUAAUCAAUUUUCAAACUGGUCAUCCUAGCUAGUCAGAUGCAGAAAUAGAGAACCUUUUCCAGUUCUCAAACUCAAACACUAAUCUGUCCUUUUUCUGCGGAACACUCCUGGGAGAAGAAAAUCUUAGGUUGGGAGUCAAGAACCAAAGGGAAAAUAGCAACAACAAGCCAACCAACAUGGUGCCUAUCAUGAUCCAUAAAAUUCCUAGGAGUAGAUAAAAGGAGGGUAGGAUACAAUUUUUAAACAAGUACAUAUGGCAAGCAAAGACCCAAAAGCCUUUAUAUCUUAAUUAACAUCACGGAGAGAACAAAAGGAGAAAACAAUGGCACAGUUCUUCACUGACAUUGGACUAAAGCCAAAAGCUGAGAGGAGCUAGUGCAGCCUCUAAAAAUUUCAAGAGGAAAGAACAGUAAUCCAUAGAGGGGUUCAGAACUUCGGAUCAGUGGAGGUAAAUAGACUUGUUAGAAAAUGUUUUAGUUUCAGUUUUAUAGAACAACAAAUACUUCUUGUGGUAUCACCAUAAGAAAAUUGUUUUCAUAUAGAAACACCUAUACUUGGAACUGCCUUUCCUCUCUCUUUUCUUCUCUUUCUUCAGAUUUCCAUGCAAAUGUAAUUGAACCACACUUAAAAUGGAAAAACCACUAACAGCCCAUUCCAUUCAUUUUCAGUCUUUUACCCAAUAACCACUUAGCUUUUUCUAGAUAAACCCUUCUACAAGUAAAUACUGAAGGAGGGCAACAAUUAUAUUUCAUUAGCAUAUAGAGUGAGAAAUAGAAGUCAGAUUUUUGUGGAAACAGUAAGCAUUUUAUAGAUAAACCCAAGAAGUUUCCAGGAUUUUAGCAGGGGCAAUUGGUCCUACUACUCUACAUCCCUAUUCUAGUAUAAGUCCAUUCCUAGCCAAGGAUGCAAGCAAUAUAAGUGGGGAAGUUAGUCUCAGUAUCCUAUAUCCCUAUCCCAACAUGCAUCAUCCCUAUCAAAUGAUGUUGGCAAUACAACUUUAAAACAGUCAGUCCUAAUAUGAAAUGUGGAAUGAAACAAUGUCAAUGUAGAAUCUGGUAAGCACCUCGGCCACAUUAAUAUGAACAGCUAUUAAAUCUAAGCAUGUUAAUAAAUAGGUUCAAGAAAAAUCCUGAGUUUAUGUUGAAGUAUAUAAUCUCCCCAGGCCAUAUUAACAUAUUCCCCCUAAUUUUUUCUGAAUUUUACCAAAGAAAGAAAGCUGUUUUUAAUCAUCUGAAUAUGAAAUUUAAGAAAAUUUACAAGCAAAACAAGAGUAAAUUAAAUACCAUAAUAAUGUGAGUCAUGUCAGAGAUGUCUUCUCUCUUUGAUCUACUGUUUGCAACCAGCACUCUCAAUAAUACCCCAUUCGUGCAGAAGACGAUUGAUGAGUGUCGACCGCCUUUACUUUCCAAGCGAAUCUUCAUAAAAGAUCAUAACCUUUAGCAAGGUGGUAUAAACUUAAAGCUUUUCCAUUAAAAAGCCAAGAAAAAUCAAACACUCAUUAGCAUGUUAGCUAAAUGCAGCAUUUCCACCUAACCGAGAAAACAAUAAACUGCUGGAUAAAUGGCAAGGAGCCACACUGAAAAAUAUACAUAGUAGCAAGAACUGCAGAUACUUUUUAAUUCCUUCAGUAGUUAAAGAACUGUGAAAGUUCGAACAAAUGGUUCUAGUUCUAUGCCUUUGGUAAGACUACCUCUAAUACAUUACCCAUCCUCAUGUGGUUAAAAUGCAGUGAGAAGAAAGCAGUAAUUUCUCUUAAAAUGCCAUUUAUUUUAACAAGUAAGAUUCGCAUCACACUUGCAUAUUUAAAAAAAAGUUUAGUAACAGUACCUUGUAUCCAACAUUUUCUCCAACACUUUCCCCUCUUUCAUUAGCAAUUCUCUCAGCCACUAGUAAAUAAAGAAAAGAGCAACCAUAUGAAGUUUUGCAAACCAUAAAAGCAGGGGAAAAAAAAGUAGAACAAGGAAUACACAGGCCUAACUUAUCCACACCUGAUGUAGCUGAUAUACGCCGAGGCUGAGUACACAGUAUUUUACAGGCCUCACCUUUCCCCCACAUAUAGUCCAAAAGAAAUUGUGGAACCUGGCCCAGAUGCACUGGCAAUAUAAGUCACAAACCCGAAAACAAAAGAAUCCUUACAUCAUGAACUUCAAGGAACAGUGAACUAAGUUCCUCAGCCUUGGGUAUAAUUUGAAUCGUACACUAAUAAUUCUGAUAAAUUUUGAGGUAGCAGUACUUCUAUAAAAGCAACUGGUUCUUGAUAUUAUUCUUUUAAGAAAAUAAUUGUCAUACCUGACUUCUGGCUUGAUUUAAUUAUAUAUGUUUAAUCAUUUAUAAUAUAAAUUCAUUUUUUUAAAUAUUGUAUAUGCUCUCUCUUAGACACAAUUAUAAUAUAAAUUCAGUUCAUCAGCUUUAAGCAGAACUUCACUUAUCUUGGUAUUCAUGAACUCUACUUUCAAUUGAUUGUAUCCAUAGAGAGAAAGCCAGAAUUAGAUUCUGAUUCUUAAAAGAAGGUAUUAUUUGAAGUACUAACAUAAGAUCAGAAGAAGACAACUAAAGAAAAGCCUUCACAGAUCCCAGCUACCAACUUUCUACUAAGAAUCCUAUAAGUAACAUAACACAAAAUGCAGUAAAUUAGCAUCCAUUCCCGACUUAGAGUUUGAGAAGCUGCACAUAGAUGAGAAUUUAAGAGUCAUUUCGGAAACAAGAUAAAGAGCCUCUGAGUUAGACAACCAAAAACUUGCAGAUUCAGUUUGCAGCAAUAGCAACCCUUUAUUGUUGCAUAAAGGAUUAGAAUAUUUCAAGGACAGUUUCAGCUGCAUCAAAAGCCUUAAAACCUGCUCAUUUUAAUUUCAUAGGAUUAAAUAGGAUUUCAUUAGAAUUAUCAAUUAUAGCCCAUCAAGCAUCAUGUGAUAUACAUUUCUUCUCUGUCCGUGUAGACUAAUCAAGAAGGGAAAAUGAUGGGCAGGGGCACUUCGAAAACAGAUAGUUCAAAAAGUUCUAUUAAAUAUACCCAAAAAAGAAAAGAUAAAAGAAUACCUGUGUUGUCUUGCCACACCCAGUCUCGCCAGAAAUGAGGAUAAUCUACAUUGGAAUUUGGAAGAAAAAAUAAGUAUAACAAUAUGAAAUAAUCCCAACCAUCCAACUGUAACUCAAAGAGAACAGGAAAAUAUGGACUUCUCAUUGGGAAAUAACAACCCAUUGAAUUGAGACAAAGCAGAAAUAAUUGAGAAUACCAAUAUAAAUAACUCUGUAUUACUACUAUAUUCUGAAUCUGUGCACCAGGCACAGACACACAUCUUAAAAAAAAAAUACGUAGAAGACAAAAGGCAACCUGGUGACAUUCUACUGCAGAUGUAAUGGCAUCCCUAAACCCAGAAAUUGGAAGCUUUGACCUCUCUUCAUCAAUCUGCAUUCAUGAUGUCAGAAAACCUUCUCUCAUAAACUAAUUUAGAGAAACUACAAAAUCCCCCCUUAUGCAUAAGAAUUGAGUGAAAAAAUAAGUAGCAUCCAGCCAAAGUUUCUAAGCCAGCUUGUAAGGAAGAACCUGUCUCAUGUUUGGAUGCUUCUCUCUCUUAGAUGCAAGUGUUUUAACCUUCUUUGCAAUCUCCGCAGCAUUCAUCAAUGGCUUCGAGAAAAUAUCAUCUUUCUUUCUUCGUAUUUUAGCAGAUUUUCCGCUAUAUUUUCCAAUUACCUUCUCUUCAAGCUCUCCAUCAUCUGGUGGAUAAUAUGCAAAUAAGUCCUGCAAAACCAAUUUUGUCCCCUCCGAAAAUGACACGUUAGUUGGAUUCUUCUCUGUCAUACUGCUGGCUUUCUCUUUGAUUUUAUAGACAGAGACACAUCUCUGGCUCCCACGCCUGAAAACAAAAUUCAGGCUCUUAAGAAACCAAACUGGAAAACUCAAUUGCUAAACCACAUAAAAGAAAAUAAAGCAGUGAGUAUCUAUUCCACAAUUAAGAAGGAAUACAUCAAAAUAGUAACAUUAUUUAACAUUUUCUAACUUAAUAUUAUUAAUAUCAGUGAAGCAUGAAACCAGCAAUUAACACUUACCCUUUACUUUUGGAUUUCAUACCCAUUUUCCGGCAUGCCUUGUGCACCACUGCGCGUUCUUUGUUAGUAAGGUUGGAUUCAAAGGUAUACACUACAUACAGCAUCGAAAAUUCAAUAAGCUAAUAUAAAAACUUAACCACAAGAAAAAUACUAAAAUGAAUGUUUAAUGCAUAAGAAGCAAAUAGCAUUCUUCAAUAUCAUUCUAGCCAUUGUAAUCCAAUUAAUCACCAAAACAUCAUUUUUUUUUUUUAAAAAACGAGAAUUGUCGGAUUCAGUAAAUAUAUCAACACAAACAUGCAAACAAGGCAGAACUUUCUCCAAUUCUCAACAUUGAGACAAAAUUCGGUUUGCUAGCAUUAAAUUACAGCAUUCCCAAAAACAAGUAAAUUUUAUUGCAGUAGCAACAAACCACGUCUUGCAAUUUUGAAGAACACAUUUUCAAAGAGAUGAACAACCUAUCACAUUAGCUUGAAAAACAACCAACCUCCCCCCCCCCUCCCACGCACACACACUCAAUAACUAUAGUAUUAAGAAGCCCUAAAUAAAACUAUGAUAAAAAAAUCCAGUAUUCCCAAUGCAUUUAAUCUUCAAAAUAGAAAAUUUAAACGAGAUUUUAAUAAUAAUAAAAAACCUUCAUCUUCUGAUUCACGAAAUUUCUCAAGUAUGUUGUUUAAUCGGAUAACGGCGAUUUCAGCUAAGGGGUUCUUCUUUCCCAUUGAUUGGGGUUUGUAUUUGGUUUUCCAAAUGCAGAGUAAAAGAAAAGCAGGGUAAAACAAAAACCAGAAAAGAAGGAAAGCAGGAAAAGAAAGAGACGUAGGGGAAGAGGCGCCUAUCCUGUCUCUUAAUUGCUGCUUUCGGGUUUAGGUUUCACUCCUUUAACUUCAAACCUUCUAUUACAUUACCACCGCUUUACUCCCUCCCAAUUAUUAUUUUAAUAUUUUUAUAUCUUCCUUGAUAAUUAAAUCGAGUCUUAGCUCUAUUAUUAUGGGUAUUUCUAUUAAGGUAAGAAGACGUGUAUUUGAAUGCGGUAAAAAUUUAUGAGUUAAAGAAGAAAUUAUAAAUAUUUGUAAGUAUUAUCUUAAAAAUAACACAAAAAAAUAUAAAUAAGUAAAUAUUAAAUGUACUCCAAUUAGUUUUCGAUGUAGAUAUUGUUUUAUAGUAAGUUUAAAUGUGACGUUUCAUUAAACAUGUUAAUAAGACAUUAUUUUGGCAAAAGAAAAUUUCAAUUAUCAAUCAAGCUGGUGUAUUUAAGAUGUUUAAGGUUUUAGGUUCAAUCUCAUCAUAUACAUGUUUUAUUUCUAUUUAAAUUUUUUAUAAAGAUAAGUUAGUUUCAUUACACAUCAUCAAAUUAUGACCGUCAUUUUAAAUUAGCCUCCAAACUUUAAAAUGUUCUAAUUACAUCCUAAAUUAUUAAUAUUCUAUCAAUUAGGUCAUCUCAUUCUUAAAAUUGAUAAAAUGAUACAUGAAAUCUUAUAUAGCUAAAUUUAAAAUGAAUAAAUAGAACAUUAUCGUGUAACUUUUAAAAAUAAAAACUAAAAAUAAAGUAAAACUGAAAAAAAUAGUGAACGAUAAAACUUAUGUAAAAGUUUCAAAAAUCUUAAAAUUACGAUUUUUAAAAUAUCUAUUUUUACAAUAUUCAUUUUCUUAAACUUUUCAUUUUAAAUUAUGUCACAUAAGCUCUAACGUGCCAUUUAACAAUUAAAUUAAUAAUUUUAAUAACAAAAUAACCUAACUGAUAUAGCAUCGAUAGUUUAAGGAUGUAAUUAGAAUGUUUUGAAGUUUAGGGACCAAUUUGGAACGAGGGUCAUAAAUUAGGGAUGUUUGAUGCAAUUAACUCUAUAUAUGAAAAUAAAAAAAAUACCCCUUAAUAAUAUUUCUUAAUUGCAUAAAGUUGGAUUUUUUUGGUAUUUUCACCGAUAGAAUUUGAUAUUGAAUUAGUUAUAAUAUUUUUUAAUUAUAUCUUAUAAAAUAAUUUAUAAAUAACGCUUAUAAUUAUUCAUAGCCUCUUUUCAACCCAUAAAUAAGAGGAUAAUAUGCUUCAGUGCACUCAAAUCCACAUACUCCCAUUAACAACAAUGUCUAUACCAAUCAAAUUAAAAUCGCAACCAUAUAUUUUUAAACCGAAGUUGCCUUCAAUCAAUUUAUGUAAUUACUUUUUUUCUAGUAAACAAAAAAAAACCUUAAUAUUAAUAAUUAAAAUCAAAACAUGAGGCAUUAUUUUGAGAAUGAUUGGUCCGACCAGAAGUUAAUAUUCAACAUCCACAAGUUUCCCUGUUAAAGACAAAAAGAAGAAAUAAAGACGAGAAGGUUUGGACGAUAAAAUAGCCAGCAAAUUCAAAUCCAACAAAAUCAUAACUCGUAAAUUAAUAAGAUUUACAUAAAAUCCCUCUUCCAUGUUUAAGCUUUGUUUAAGCAACACUGAAGGAACUAGCAGCACUCUCCACAAACUUUCUAGCUCCCUUGAACCACCUCUUGUCCCCAGCUUGUGCCUUGCAAAUGUAAAGCUUGCCGUUGUUGACGGUGGCUGUUAUUAGCUGGUGCUUCCCACCUUCGUCUCCGUCGGCGGUUCUUGUCAACACUGACAAGAAGUAGUACGGCUUCCCGCCGACUGUUGAACUUGAACUCUCCAAUAUGUUUGCGGUCGCCACCGCACCGGAGUCAAAACCACCCUGCAUAUGCGCGCGCGCACACACAUGUAUGUACUCAAACCACGUAUGUAAAUGGUUGCUUUAAAUUCGAAAAACAAGGGAAUGGGAGGUACCAAAAAUGAAGUCUAUGAUAGCUAUUACAUAUGUUAUAUAUUAUAUGCAUCUGUUAGUGAAUCACCUCAGAAUCGGUUUUACCAAAGUAAGCUUGUUUUCCAAGAAGAUAAUCCACCUGCAAAGAUUCAAUGAGAAGCAAAUGGAUGAGCAAAGAUUAAAUAUUGAUAAAAUAUUUAAGCUGGUGGGAAAAUGGAAUACCGAAGAGAGGAACUCCUCAGGGGAACCGUAGUCGGUGAUGGACUUCUUGUCGGUGGGAGUGAUCAUGACGCUCAAAUUGCUGGUGGUGUCGAAGUUGUCCUCAUACCUCAGCACUUGACCUGGGAACUCCACCUCUUUGCUUGGGUUCCAUUUCGAUGGUAUCGACAGCUUGAAUCCAUCCCCAUUGUAUGGCAUGAAUUCUGUGUCUGUUUUUGGCUUUCCAAAUACAUUUGCUGCAUCCAAAUCAACCCAUUCAUUUUCAUUCACUUAAUUAAUAUCAUUAUCUCUUCAUGCUAGCUAGGGUUCAUGAGGCCUAAACGUACGGCUGAUAAAGAACAAGAAAAAGAAAAAGGAAGAUAAUUACCAGCUUCACCAUAGGCAGCAUCAGCAGGAGAAACCUUAGAGCCAACAGCGGCAGCACCAAUGAGUACAGUGAGAGCCAACCUACGGGACACAAGGCUUCCAUCAUCUUCCUGCUUCUGAGCCUUGCACACCACCUGCUGGUUAGGC
This 74472-nucleotide long non-coding RNA is filed under the name Gossypium raimondii (Peruvian cotton). RNAcentral describes it as "long non-coding RNA (GRAI_LNC009788)". Lineage: Eukaryota; Viridiplantae; Streptophyta; Magnoliopsida; Malvales; Malvaceae. The record is from RNAcentral.